CUGUUAAUUAUUGUAACAAACUUUAUCAUUUGCCAGUUUGCACUGUGUUGAGAACUGACCAAUAAGUUUUGUUUGCCAAUUAGCUUUCUGUGUGCAUGCUCUUAAUCCCCAUAUUACUAAUUUCUGAAUCAAACAUUAUUAUUUCUGUCCUCAACAAGUCGCAGCGCUAUGUUCUGUUUUUUGUUUAGUUAGCUCUGUCAAAUAUAAUCAACCUGCCUAUGUUCCAUUUUGCUAUUUGUACUUAGGUAGAAAAAGCUAAAAUCUGUACAUGUAAUGCUGAAGCUAUAUUGGUUGCUUGUUUCUUAAUUUUUUCUUCUAUAAUGAUGAUCUGAAAUGCCACGCAGGUCAUUAUUGGUGGUGCUACUGCUGUUGUUGUGGUUGUUGGAGGUGUUGCUGUUGCAUCUGGCGGAGCUGCCGUUGGGGCCCCAAAAGGUAACCUUCAUCAGCCACAACCCCACAACAAUGGCUCAAGGUUCUGUGCCCUAUCACCCCUCUUUCUAAAUUACUGAAAUGAACCAAGAUCUCAUAUAUUUAGGAACGGAGGUAGUAGUAAGGUUAAAAUAGAAAAGCAAGGGAUGUUUCUAAUUUGGUUAUGCUAGAAUAAUGCAUCAACUCGUGGCAUUCUUGGAUGUUACUCUAAGGUGUCAAAAUGAUAGUAAAACCUAGGCUCUUGCAUGGUUCUUGAAUUAAUUUUUCUAUUUUAUGGCUAACAAAUAUUGCCUAUGUUGAGACUCUAAACAUGUGGAUUUUCCUCUCAUUUAUAGGAAUUCUACCUGAAGAAAUUCGGAGAAAACUUGAAGCCCCAGUUAGCGACUUGCUUUAUAUGUUAUUGACUUGUCAUGCUAAAUUUGUUGAGAAUUUUGAUAUACUAUUGCACAUGUUACUCGAAUGCUGGUAGUUAUGUACAUAUACUCACAAUAUUAUCCGUUGUUUACUUGAAAUGCAUUCUUGGGCUGAAAGUGGCUGAAAAAGUAUAUGCUGUGUUGAUUCUGCGUUGAUUGUGUAUGUCUAUUCUACAAAAGAAGAGGCACGGUCCAAAUGGAAUUAGUACUGAAAUGUCUAUUUGACCUAAUCUAUUUGGGCUUUGAAAAGAGGCCCGAAACAUAUUGCCAGCAAUUAAGUCUGAAAAUUAAAUAUAAAUGUGUAAAAAAGGCCGAGGCCCAAAAAAGAAACAGAUAGUAGAAGGCCCUGGCCUAGAAGAAAAUGCUGAAAUGUUGGGCUUGGCCCGUGAAUUUGACCAAAAAUUGAUAGGAAAAAAUAUAAAAAGGCUAAAUUAUUGGGCUAGGCCCAAGUAGAACAGCAAAUUGGACCGUGCUGAAUCUUAUCAACGAACUUUUCAAUUGGUCGCAGUUUUGCCACGUCAGAUUGCCACGUCGGAUCCGACGUGGCCUGGGAAGACUGCCAGUGACUAAAACAAAAGGUCGUGGGUUCCACGACGUUUUGUUUUGGUUGUAAAUGUCUACGACCUUAUCCCGAAGAAGGUCGUUAAUUUCAGUUUACGACCUCCAGCUUUAACCAUCUGUUUUUUGUCAAAAAAAUGUCGCAAAUGAAAAAUAAUGACCUUUCAGUAACCAAUAUUGAUGGUGGCAAGUUGACAUAUUUCUUGUAGUGAUUCUUGAAUGUUUUACCAUCAUUUUAUAGCAACUUUAUAUCAGUUUUUCGGACUGACCUAUUGACAUAGUGUCCAGUGCUAGUUUCUGUUUUUUGCUUGUUUUUGACUUCAUGAAUUUCAGUACCAAAUGCAGUACAAAUGCAGCAAAACUUUUUGGAGAUUUUUUGUUUGGACCAGAAGACAACUUGGGAACCAAGAAAGCACCUGGGGGAGGUCCGUGGGGAGCACAACCCACCAGGGCACACCCAGGAGCCCAGGCACGCCCUGGUGAGUUGUGGGGCCCACGGGUGCCUCCUUCACUGCCUCUUCGCCCUAUAAAUACCCAAAUAUUCCAGAAACCCUACGGGAGUCGAUGAAACACAAUUCCAGCCACCACAAGUUCCAGAACAACGAGAUCCAAUCAAAUACCAUACGGAGGGGUUCAUCAUUCUCAUCGGUGCCUCUCAAAUGAUGAAUGAGUUGUCCACCAUAGACCUACAGGUCCAUAGGCAGUAGCUAGAUGGCUUCCUCUUUCUCUUUUGACUCUCAAUACAAUGGUCUUUUGGAGAUAUUGGGAAAUGUAGCAUGAAAUUUCAAAAAAAAUUCUACGCUCACGCAAGAUCUAUCUAGGAGAUGCAUAGCAAAGAGAGGGGGAGAGUGUGUCCAUGAACCCUCGUAGACCGAAAGCGGAAGCAUUUGAUAACGCGGUUGAUGUAGCCGAACUUCUUCUAGAUCCGACCGAUCAAGCACCGAACGUACGUCACCUCCAAGUUCUGCACACUUUCAGCUCGAUGACGUCCCUCGUCCUCUUGAUCAAGCAAAGGUGUCGAGGAAGAAGAUGAGUUCUGUCAGCACGACGGUGUGAUGACGGUGAUGGUAAAGUGAUCCGCGCAGGGCUUCGCCUAAGCAAUAUGAAGAUAUGACCCAGUGGAGGGGGGCGCCACACAUAGCUAACAAUUAUUGGUGUGUCUUCUAGGCGCCCCCUCCCUACGUAUAUAUAGGUGGGAGGGAGAGGGUAGCAGCCUUGGGGUGCCCCAAGUAGGAGGAAUCCCACUUGGGGUCCUCCCCCAAUUCGGCCACCCCCUUUCCUUAUUUCCGAAGAGAAAGAGGGAAGGGGGAAGGGAGAAAGGAAAGGGGGGGGGGGGGCGAACCGCCCUUGCUCCUUCUCCAAUUCGGCCACAUGCCUAAUUGUGGGCGCGCCACCCCUUAUGGGCUGGUGUGCUCCCCUUUUAUGGCCCAUAUGGCCCAUAUCUUCACCCAGGGGGUUCCGGUAACCCCCUCGAUACUCCGAUAAAUACCCGAUACGAUCAGAAGCACUUUUGGUGUCCGAAUACUAUCAUCCUAUAUAUCAAUCUUUACCUCUCGACCAUUUUGAGACUCCUCAUCAUGUCCGUAAUCUCAUCCGGGACUCCGAACAACAUUCUGUCACCAAAUCACAUAACUCAUAUAAUAUUAAAUCGUCAUCGAACGUUAUGCGUGCGGACCCUACGGGUUCGAGAACUAUGUAGACAUGACCAAGACACCUCUCUGGUCAACUGGUUAAUAACCAAUAGCGGAGCAUGUAUGCUCAUAUUGGCUCCUACAUAUUCUAUGAAUAUCUUUCUCAGUCAAACCGUUAUGACAACAUACAUUAUUCCCUUUGUCAUCGGUAUGUUUCUUGCCCGAGAUUCGAUCGUCGGUAUCUUCAUACCUAGCUCAAUCUCGUUACUGGCAAGUCUCUUUACUCGUUUCGUAAUACAUCAUCCUGCAACAAACUCAUUAGUCACUUUACUUGCAAGGCUUCUUAUGAUGUGCAUUACUGAGAGGGCCCAGACAUACCUCUCUGAUACUCGGAGUGACAAAUCCUAAUAUCGAUCUAUGCCAACCCAAAAAACACCUUCGGAGAUACAUGUAGAGCAUGUUUAUAAUCACCCAAUUAUGUUGUGACGUUUGAUAGCACACAAGGUAUUCCUCCGGUAUCCGGGAGUUGCAUAAUCUCAUAGUCGAAGGAAUAUGUAUUUGACAUGAAGAAAGCAAUAGCAAUAAAACUGAACGAUCAAUACACUAAGCUAACGGAUGGGUCUUGUCCAUCACAUCAUUCUCCUAAUGAUAUGAUCCCGUUCAUCAAUUGACAACACAUGUCAAUGGUUAGGAACUUUACCAUCUAUGAUUAACAAGCAAGUAUAGUAGAGGCUUAUUAGGGACACGAUGUUUUGUCUAUCUAUCCACACAUGUAUAAAGUUUCCGAUUAAUACAAUUCUAGCAUGAAUAAUAAACAUUUAUCAUCAUAUAAGGAAAUAUAAAAUAACAACUUUAUUAUUGUCUCUAGGGCAUAUUUCCUCCAGCCUCCCACUUGCACUAGAGUCAAUAAUCUAGUUCACAUCGCCAUGUGAUUUAACACCAAUAGUUCACAUCUUUAUGUGAACAACACCCAAAGGGUUUACUAGAGUCAAUAAUCUAGUUCACAUCGCUAUGUGAUUAACACCCAAAGAGUACUAAGGUGUGAUCAUGUUUUGGUUGUGAGAGAAGUUUAGUCAACGGGUCUGCCACAUUCAGAUCCAUAUGUAUUUUGCAAAUUUCUAUGUCUACAAUGCUCUGCAUGGAGCUACUCUAGCUAAUUGCUCCUACUUUCAAUAUGUAUCCAGAUCGAGAAUCAGAGUCUUCCAGAUUGGUGUCAAAGCAUGCAUCGAUGUAAAUCUUUACGACGAACACUUUACCACCUCCAUAAUCGAGAAACAUUUCCUUAGCCAUCUAAGGAUAAUUUUGACCGUUGUCCAGUGAUUCACUCCAGGUUCACUCUUUUACCUCCUUGCCAAAACCAUGUCAAGGCACACAAUAGGUCUGGUACACAGCAUGGCAUACUUUAUAGAACUUAUGACUAAGGCAUAGGAAAUGACUUUCAUUAUCUCUCUCUAUAUUCUGUCGUGGUCGGGUUUUGAGUUUAACUCAACUUCACACCUUGUUACACAUGUAAGAACCCUUUCUUUGACUGUUCAAUUUUGAACUUCUUCAAAAAGUUUGUCAAGGUAUGUGCUUUGUGAAAGUCCUAUUAAGCAUCUCAAUCUAUUCCUAUAGAUCUUGAUGCCCAAUAUAUAACUAGCUUCACCAAGGUCUUUCAUUGAAAAACUCUUAUUCAAGUAUCCUUUUAUGCUAUCCAGAAAUUCUAUAUCAUUUCCAAUCAAUAAUAUGUCAUCUACAUAUAAUAUCAGAAAUGCUACACAGCUCCCACUCACUUUCAUGUAAAUAUAGGCUUCACCAAAAGUCUGUACAAAACCAUAUGCUUUGAUCACCUUAUCAAAGCGUAUAUUCCAACUCCGAGAUGCUUGCACCAGUCCAUAGAUGGAUCGCUGGAGUUUGCACACUUUGUUAGCACCUUUAGGAACGACAAAACCUUUUGGUUGCACCAUAUACAACUCUUCUUUUAGAAAUCCAUUAAGAAAUGUAGUUCAUCCAUUUGCCAGAUUUCAUAAAAUGCGGCAAUUUCAGACAUGAUUCGGACAGACUUAAGCAUCGCUAUGAGUGAGAAAAUCUCAUCGUAGUCAACACCCUGAACUUGUCGAAAACCUUUUGCGACAAGUCGAGAUUUUUAGAUAGUAACACUACCAUCAGUGUACGUCUUCCUCUUGAAGAUCCAUUUAUUCUCAAUGGCUUUCCGAUCAUUGGCCAAGUCCACCAAAGUCCACACUUUGUUCUCAUACAUGGAUCCUAUCUUAGAUUUCUUGGCCUCAAUCCAUCUGUCGGAAUCUGGGCUCAUCAUAGCUUCUUCAUAGUUUGUAGGUUCGCCAUGGUCUAAUAACAUGAUUUUCAGGACAAGAUUACCAUACCACUCUGGUGCGGAACGUACUCUCUUCGACCUAUGAGUUCUAGUGGUAAUUUGAUCAAGAGUUUCAUGAUCAUCAUCAUUAGCUUCCUCUCUAGUUGGUGUAGGCAUCACGGGAAUGGAUUUCACUUAUGUGCUACUUUCUAAUUCAAGAGAAGGUACAAUUACCUCAUCAGGUUCCUGCUCCCACUCACUUCUUUCGAGAGAAACUCCAUCUCUAGAAAGGUUCCAUUCUUGGCAACAAAGAUCUUGCCUCCGGAUCUGUGGUAGAAGGUGAACCCAAUUGUUUCCUUAGGGUAUCCUAUGAACAUGCACUUGUUUGAUUUGGGUUCAAGCUUAUCAGGCUGAAGGCUUUUUAACUUGUUGAGAAUUUUGACUUGUCAUGCUAAAUUUGUUGAGAAUUUUGAUGUACUGUUGCACAUGUUACUCGAAUGCUGGUGGUUAUGUACAUAUACUCACAAUAUUAUCCGUUGUUUACUUGAAAUGCAUUCUUGGGCUGAAAGUGGCUGAAAAAGUAUAUGUUGUAUUGAUUUUGCGUUGAUUGUGUAUGUCUAUUCUACAAAAGAAGAGGCACGGUCCAAAUGGAAGAAGUACUGAAAUGUCUAUUUGACCUAAUCUAAUUGGGCUUUGAAAAGAGGCCCGAAACAUAUUGCCAGCAAUUAAGUCUGAAAAUUAAAUAGAAAUGUGUAAAAAAGGCCGAGGCCCAAAAAAGAAACAGAUAGUAAAAGGCCGUGGCCUAGCAGAAAAUGCUGAAAUGUUGGGCUUGGCCCGUGAAUUCGACCAAAAAUUGAUAGGAAAAAAAUAUAAAAAGGCUAAAUUAUUGGGCUAGGCCCAUGUAGAACAGCGAAUUGGACCGUGCUGAAUCUUAUCAACGAACUUUUCAAUUGGUCACAGUUUUGCCACGUCAAAUUGCCACGUCGGAUCUGACGUGGCCUGGGUAGACUACCAGUGACCAAAACAAAAGGUCACGGGUUCCACGACCUUUUGUUUUGGUUGUAAACGUCUACGACCUUAUCCUGAAGAAGGUCGUUAAUUUCAGUUUACGACCUCUAGCUUUUAACCAUCUGUUUUUGGUCAAAAAAAGGUCGCAAAUGAAAAAUAAUGACCUUUCAGUGACCAAUAUUGAUGGUCGCAAGUUGACAUAUUUCUCGUAGUGAUUAUUGGAUGUUUUACCAUCAUUUUAUAGCAACUUUAUGUCAGUUUUUCGGACUGACCUAUUGACAUAGUGCCCAGUGCUAGUUUUUGUAUUUUGCUUGUUUUCGACUUCAUGAAUAUCAGUACCAAAUGCAGUACAAAUGCAGCAAAACUUUUUGGAUAUAUUUUGUUUGGACCAAAAGACAACUUGGGAACCAAGAAAGCACCUGGGGGAGGUCCGUGGGGAGCACAACCCACUAGGGCACACCCAGGAGCCCAGGCACGCCCUGGUGAGUUGUGGGGCCCAUGGGUACCUCCUUCACUGCCUCUUCGCCCUAUAAAUACCCAAAUAUUCCAGAAACCAUAGGGGAGUCAAUGAAACACAAUUCCAGCCACCACAAGUUCCAGAACAACGAAAUCCAAUCAAACACCAUACGGAGGGGUUCAUCAUUCUCAUUGGUGCCUCUCAAAUGAUGCAUGAGUUGUCCACCAUAGACCUACAGGUCCAUAAGCAGUAGCUAGUUGGCUUCCUCUCUCUCUUUUUACUCUCAAUACAAUGGUCUCUUGGAGAUAUUGGGAAAUGUAGCAUGCAAUUUAAAAAAAAAUCCUACGCUCACGCAAGAUCUAUCUAGGAGAUGCAUAGCAACGAGAGGGGGAGAGUGUGUCCACUUACCCUCGUAGACCGAAAGCGGAAGCGUUUGAUAACGUGGUUGAUGUAGCCGAACUUCUUCUAGAUCCGACCGAUCAAGCACCGAACAUACGUCACCUCCAAGUUCUGCACACUUUCAGCUCGAUGACGUCCCUCGUCCUCUUGAUCAAGCAAAGGUGUCGAGGAAGAAGAUGAGUUCUGUCAGCACGACGGUGUGGUGACGGUGAUGGUAAAGUGAUCCACGCAGGGCUUCACCUAAGCACUACGAAGAUAUGACCCUGUGGAGGGGGGCGCCACACAUAGCUAACAAUUAUUGGUGUGUCUUCUAGGCGCCCCCUCCCUACGUAUAUAUAGGUGGGAGGGAGAGGGUAGCAGGCUUGGGGUGCCCCAAGUAGGAGGAAUCCUACUUGGGGUCCUCCCCCAAUUCGGCCACCCCUCUUUCCUUAUUUCCGAAGAGAAAGAGGGAAGGGGGAAGGGAGAAAGGAAAGGGGGGGGGGGCGAACCGCCCUUGCUCCUUCUCCAAUUCGGCCACAUGCCUAAUUGUGGGCACGCCACCCCUUGUGGGCCGGUGUGCUCCUCUUUUAUGGCCCAUAUGGCCCAUAUCUUCCCCCAGGGGGUUCCAGUAACCCCCCGAUACUCCGAUAAAUACCCAAUACGAUCAGAAGCACUUUUGGUGUUCGAAUACUAUCAUCCUAUAUAUCAAUCUUUACCUCUCGACCAUUUUGAGACUCCUCAUCAUGUCCGUGAUCACAUCCGGUAAUCCGAACAACAUUCUGUCACCAAAUCACAUAACUCAUAUAAUAUUAAAUCGUCAUCGAACGUUAUGCGUGCGGACCCUACGGGUUCGAGAACUAUGUAGACAUGACCAAGACACCUCUCCGGUCAACUGGUUAACAACCAAUAGCGGAGCACGUAUGCUCAUAUUGGCUCCUACAUAUUCUAUGAAUAUCUUUAUCAGUCGAACCGUUAUGACAACAUACAUUAUUCCCUUUGUCAUCGGUAUGUUUCUUGCCCGAGAUUCGAUCGUCGGUAUCUUCAUACCUAGCUCAAUCUCGUUACUGGCAAGUCUCUUUACUCAUUUCGUAAUACAUCAUCCUGCAACUAACUCAUUAGUCACUUUGCUUGCAAGGCUUCUUAUGAUGUGCAUUACUGAGAGGGCCCAGAGAUACCUCUCUGAUACUCGGAGUGACAAAUCCUAAUAACGAUCUAUGCCAACCCAAAAAACACCUUCGGAGAUACAUGUGGAGCAUGUUUAUAAUCACCCAGUUAUGUUGUGACGUUUGAUAGCACACAAGGUAUUCCUCCGGUAUCCGGGAGUUGCAUAAUCUCAUAGUCGAAGGAAUAUGUAUUUGACAUGAAGAAAGCAAUAGCAAUAAAACUGAACGAUCAAUACACUAAGCUAACGGAUGGGUCUUGUCCAUCACAUCAUUCUCCUAAUGAUGUGAUCCCGUUCAUCAAUUGACAACACAUGUCAAUGGUUAGGAACUUUACCAUCUAUGAUUAACAAGCUAGUAUAGUAGAGGCUUAUUAGGGACACGAUGUUUUUUCUAUCUAUCCACACAUGUAUAAAGUUUCCGAUUAAUAAAAUUCUAGCAUGAAUAAUAAACAUUUAUCAUCAUAUAAGGAAAUAUAAAAUAACAACUUUAUUAUUGUCUCUAGGGCAUAUUUCCUCCAGCCUCCCACUUGCACUAGAGUCAAUAAUCUAGUUCACAUCACCAUGUGAUUUAACACCAAUAGUUCGCAUCUUUAUGUGAACAACACCCAAAGGGUUUACUAGAGUCAAUAAUCUAGUUCACAUCGCUAUGUGAUUAACACCCAAAGAGUACUAAGGUGUGAUCAUGUUUUAGUUGUGAGAGAAGUUUAGUCAAUGGGUCUGCCACAUUCAGAUCCGUAUGUAUUUUGCAAAUUUCUAUGUCUACAAUGCUCUGCAUGGAGCUACUCUAGCUAAUUGCUCCUACUUUCAAUAUGUAUCCAGAUCGAGAAUCAGAGUCUUCUAGAUUGGUGUCAAAGCAUGCAUCAAUGUAAAUCUUUAUGACGAACACUUUACCACCUCCAUAACCGAGAAACAUUUCCUUAGCCAUCUAAGGAUAAUUUUGACCGUUGUCCAGUGAUUCACUCCAGGUUCACUCUUUUACCUCCUUGCCAAAACCAUGUCAAGGCACACAAUAGGUCGGUACACAGCAUGGCAUACUUUAUAGAACUUAUGACUAAGGCAUAGGAAAUGACUUUCAUUAUCUCUCUCUAUAUUCUGUCAUGGUCGGGUUUUGAGUUUAACUCAACUUCACACCUUGUUACACAUGUAAGAACCCUUUCUUUGACUGAUCAAUUUUGAACUUCUUCAAAAAGUUUGUCAAGGUAUGUGCUUUGUGAAAGUCCUAUUAAGCAUCUCGAUCUAUUCCUAUAGAUCUUGAUGCCCAAUAUAUAACUAGCUUCACCAAGGUCUUUCAUUGAAAAACUCUUAUUCAAGUAUCCUUUUAUGCUAUCCAGAAAUUCUAUAUCAUUUCCAAUCAAUAAUAUGUCAUCUAUAUAUAAUAUCAGAAAUGCUACAGAGCUCCCACUCACUUUCAUGUAAAUAUAGGCUUCACCAAAAGUCUAUAUAAAACCAUAUGCUUUGAUCACCUUAUCAAAGCGUAUAUUCCAACUCCGAGAUGCUUGCACCAGUCCAUAGAUGGAUCGCUGGAGUUUGCACACUUUGUUAGCACCUUUAGGAACGACAAAACCUUUUGGUUGCACCAUAUACAACUCUUCUUUAAGAAAUCCAUUAAGAAAUGCAGUUCAUCCAUUUGCCAGAUUUCAUAAAAUGCGGCAAUUUCAGACAUGAUUCGGACAGACUUAAGCAUCGCUAUGAGUGAGAAAAUCUCAUCGUAGUCAACACCCUGAACUUGUCGAAAACCUUUUGCGACAAGUCGAGCUUUUUAGAUAGUAACACUACCAUCAGUGUCCGUCUUCCUCUUGAAGAUCCAUUUAUUCUCAAUGGCUUUCCGAUCAUUGGCCAAGUCCACCAAAGUCCACACUUUGUUCUCAUACAUGGAUCCUAUCUUAGAUUUCUUGGCCUCAAUCCAUCUAUCGGAAUCUGGGCUCAUCAUAGCUUCUUCAUAGUUUGUAGGUUCGCCAUGGUCUAAUAACAUGAUUUUCAGGACAGGAUUACCAUACUACUCUGGUGCGGAACGUACUCUGUUCGACCUAUGAGUUCUAGUGGUAAUUUGAUCAAGAGUUUCAUGAUCAUCAUCAUUAGCUUCCUCUCUAGUUGGUGUAGGCAUCACGGGAAUGGAUUUCACUUAUGUGCUACUUUAUAAUUCGAGAGAAGGUACAAUUACCUCAUCAAGUUCCUCCUCCCACUCACUUCUUUUGAGAGAAACUCCAUCUCUAGAAAGGUUCCAUUCUUGGCAACAAAGAUCUUGCCUCCGGAUCUGUGGUAGAAGGUGAACCCAAUUGUUUUCUUAGGGUAUCCUACGAAGAUGCACUUGUUUGAUUUGGGUUCGAGCUUAUCAGGCUGAAGGCUUUUUAACAUAAGUGUCGCAGCCCCAAACUUUAAGAAAUGAUAGCUUAGGUUUCUUGCCAAACCAUAGUUCAUACGAUGUUGUCUCAAUGGAUUUAGAUGGUGCCCUAUUUAACGUGAAUGCAGCUGUCUCUAAUGCAUAACCCCAAUAGGAUAGUGGAAAAUCAAUAAGAUAUGAUACGUCUCCAACAUAUCUAUACUUUUUGAUUGUUCCAUGAUGUUAUAUUAUCAAUCUUGGAUGUUUUGCAAUCAUUUUAUAGUCAUUUUAUAUCAUUUUUGGUACUAACCAAUUGACAUAGUGCCAAGUGCCAGUUCCUGUUUUUUCCGUGUUUUUCACAUCGCCGAAAAUCAAUAUCAGACGGAGUCCAAAUGCCACGAAACUUCAAGGAUAAUUUUUAUGGGAUAAAAGGAACACAACAGGCCCUGGCUACGCCUGGGGGGUGCCCCAAGGGGGGCACAACCCACCAAGGCGCGCUAGGAGGCCCAGGCGCGCCCUGGUGGGUUGUGCCAACCUCGGGAGCCCCCGGACCGCCUCUUUGCUCUAUAAAUACCACAAAAAUCCUAGAACCCAAGGGGAGUCAACGAAAUAUUCAUCCAGCCGCCGCAGAGUCCAGAACCAACAGAUCCCAUCUAGACACCAUCAAGGAUGGGGUUCACCACCACCAUUGGUGCUUCUCCGAUGCUGCACGAGUAGUUCUUUGUAGAUCUUCGGGUCCGUAGUUAGUAGUUAGAUGGCUUCAUCUCUCUCUCUCUCUCGAUUCUCAAUACAAUUGUCUCUUGGAGAUCCAUAUGAUGUAACUCUUUUGUGGUGUGUUUGUUGGGAUCCAAUGAACAUUGAGUUUAUGAUCAGAUCUAUCUUUUUAUAUCCAUGAAAGUUAUGUGAGUUUCUUUGAUCUCUUAUAUGCAUGAUUGCUUAUAGCCUCAUAUUUCUUCUCUGAUAUUUGGGUUUUGUUUGGCCAACUUGAUCUAUUUAUCUUGCAAUGGGAAGAAGUGCUUUGUAGUGGGUUCGAUCUUACGUGCUUGAUCCCAAUGACAGAAAGGGAAACAACACGUAUGUAUCGUUGCUACUAAGGAUAAAACGAUGGGGUCUAUCUCUACAUAGAUAAAUCAUGUCUACGUCAUGUCAUUGUUCUUAUUGCCUUACUCCGUUUCCACAUGAACUUAUUACACUAGAUGCAUGCUGGAUAGCGGUCGAUGUGUGGAGUAAUAGCAGUAGACGCAGGCAGGAGUCGGUCUACUAAUCUUGGGCGUGAUGCCUAUAUAAUGAUCAUUUCCUGGAUAUCGUCAUAAUUAUUCGAGGUUCUAUCAAUUGCCCAAUAUUAAUAUGUUCACCACCGUUUGCUAUUUUUCUCGAGAGGAGCCACUAGUGAAACCUACGACCCCCGGGUCUUCUUUCUCAUAUAUUUCCUUUGCGAUCUAUUUUUAUUUUCUUUUAUUUUCAGAUCUGCUAAACCAAAAACCCAAAAAUAUUGUGUUGCACUUUAUUUUAUUUGUGAUCUAUUUAUGCAAUCUAUUACAACUUUCUCCCGUCAUCGCACCAAUUUCUGACACCGUUACCUAAAAGGGAUUGACAACCCCUUUAACAUGUCGGGUUGCGAGGAUUUGUUAUCUGUGUGCAGGGGUUGUUUACGUUGUGUUGCUUGGUUAUCCUACUGGUUCGAUAACCUUGGUUUCAUAUCUUAUGGAAAUACCUACCACUGUUGUGCUGCAUCAUCCCCUCCUAUUUGGGGUAAUACAAACGUAGCUUCAAGCGACAUCAAAAGGAAUUUCUGGCGCCGUUGCCGGGGAGAAUCAAGUCAAGAUAGCCUCCCGUCAACAUGCCAUUUCUAGCGCCGUUGCCGGGGAGUAUCUUCAACAUAUACUAGGUUCCUAAUCACAAAUCUCAUCUCCUCACAAUUUACUUUAUUUGCCAUUUGCCUCUCGUUUUCCUCUCCCCCACUUCACAAAAAAUUUCCGUUUUAUUCGCCUCUCCCUUCCAUUCACCGGUCUCUUGUUUUCUAGUCUCGAUGGCUAGCAUCCCAACUCCUUUGUCACGAUGAACACCAACUUAGGAACGCCAAGGUUAACAUGGAUAAUAUGUUUUAUGUUGUGUUCACAAAACAUCAUGAUGGAAAUACCUCUAAGAAAGUUACGAACAAGGAUGACAAAACUUAGAUCCUUUCUUUAUGCCUAGCUAAUGGCGUAAAACUAUAGCGCUUGUUGGGAGGCAACCCAAUGAAUAAAUUUUAUUUUUGCUUUUUGCUUUCCGUUCUUGAGUGUUGGCACAAUUAUGCUACUGUUAUGAUUGUGUUUUUUUAUGUGUAAUUAGUGUUUGUGCCAAGUAAAGCCUUUAGGAUCUUCUUGGGUGAUAGUUGUUUGAUCUUGCUAAAAAAACAGAAACAUCUACGCUCACGAAAUUAAUUUUAUUUUUUACCAGAGAGUGAUAAAAUAAGCAUUCCUAUUGCGGUUGAUCAAUAUACAAAUUGUUCAGGUCGUACUAAUUUUUCAGAAUUUUUGGAGUUAUAGAAGUAUUUGAAAUAGUCAGAUUGCUACAGACUGUUCUGUUUUGACAGAUUCUGUUUUCUUUGUGUUGUGUGCUUAUUUUGAUGGCUCUAUGGUUUUCUUUGAUGAGUUUUUGCCAUAGAAAGGUUGGAAUACAAUAGAUAUAAUACGAAAACAAAAUAUGAAUUUGUGUGAUACAAUACUUAUAGUAGUGAUUUAUUAUUCUUAUACCAACGAAUCCCACGAAGGUUUUGUUGAGUUUUGUGUGAUUGAAGUUUUCAAGUUUUGGGUUAUCUUACGAUGGAUGAAGGAAUGAUGGAAGAGCCUAAGUUUGGGGAUGCCCAGUAUUCCCAAGCUAUUAUCCAAAUAUGAGCAACCAUCUAAGCUUGGGUAUGCCCUCGAGUGGCAUCCCCGCUUUCUUCCAACAAUCAUCGGUAUUUUACUUGAAACUGUAUUUUUAUUCGUCACAUGAUAUGUGUUCUGCUUGGAGCGUCUUGUAUGAUAUGAGUCUUUGCUUGUUUUAUUUUGUGCUUAUGUCAUCAAUCCUUGCUGUACACACCUAUUUGAGAGAGCCAAAAUUAUGUCAUGACUUGUUAGAAUUGCUCUCUAUGCUUCACUUAAAUUUUUAUGAGCAAUGGACUUACUCUAGUGCUUUACUUAUAUCUUUUUGAGCACGGUGUGCUUUAGUAUUUUUUAAUAAAUGCUCUCUUGCUUCACUUAGAUUUAUUUGAGAGUUGGUAAAAUUUUCAAGAAAUUGUCUCUUGCUUCACUUAAAUUAAUUUGAGAGAAAGAAAAAUAUGUUAUGAUCAUGAUCUUCACUUAUAUUUGUUGGAGCUUGUCAAAAGCAAUGCAUGAAAUUUAGUCCCAAAGUGAUAGAUAUCCAAGAAGGAUAUAAUAAAAACUUUCAUGAAGAUCAUUGGACAAAAUAAACUUGAUUCUUAGUAAUAGUUUUGAGAUAUGAUGGUGUGAUAUGUGAGUUAUGUUGGUGAGUAAUUAUGAUUUAGUAAGAAUAUUGGUGUUAAGGUUUGUGAUUCCAUAUGCAAGUACGAAAGUCAAUAGUCAUGCAAUGAAAUUAUAUCCUACCUAUGGUGCAUGAUUCGGUGUUAAUUAUGCUUAAUGCUUGCUUAUGAGAUUAUUCGUUUCUUAGUUGGUCGCUUCCCAAUCUUUUGCUAGCCUUCAUUUUGCACUAAGUAUGAUCACUAGUUGUGCAUCCAAAAACCUUUAACCCAAUUUUUCCACAUGAGUCCACUAUAUCUACCUAUAUGCGGUAUUCUUUUGCUAUUCUAAGCAAAUUUGCAUGUGCCAUCUCUAAUUUUCAAAAUAAACAUCUCUUUUGUGUGUUUGUUUCGCUCGCGGAGCGGUGAGGGGUGGCUAAUAUUUUCCAUGCUAGAUGUAUUGUUCUCAAGAUGAGUGUUUAUUCACUUUUCAUUGCACGAGAGUAAGGAAAAGGUAUUAGGGAUACCCAGUCCCGAAAUACAAAAAAAUGAAUUUACUUUAUAUUGUCAAAUAAUAAAUUCCUUAGAAAGUGUUGGUAUGGAGGGCACCCGUGGAUACGGUUAGCCAUGGAAAGUGAAAGUAUGGUGGAAAAAGGAAUAAACUUUAUUUUCUGUUUGGGAACCGCCUAUGAUAUAACUAUGCAUGGAAAGUAUUGGGCACUCUAAGUCCUUUUUGUUGGUGUGAUGGAUACACCUCUCAAAAUGGUUGCAUCUCUAUUUUUUUUCUCUUUGAGCUAUGGCACCUCUACAAAUCCCUACUUCCCUCUGUGAAGGGCCUUUCUUUUACUUUAUGCAAUUUUUAUUUUGAGUAUCCAUCUUCUCUUAUAAAAGCACCAACUAGGAGGCAAUAUGAUCGUACUUAAGUAUUGGAUGUAGCUAAUAUUGGAGUGUGUUUCAUGAAUGGAUCAAUGUUUGAGCAUGAUGGGUUAGGGAUAACUUAUUUUGGCGUUGAUAUUUUGAAAGACAUGGUUGCUUGUUGGUAUGCAUGAGUAUCUAAAUUAUCAUGUCCGAACUAGACUAUUACUUUGAACAACUAAAAGUCCAAUUGUCCAUGCUAUAAAGAAAACAAUAUGAUAUGACAUCAUAGGCGGCAUUCCACAUCAAAAAUUCUAUUUUUAUCACUUACCUACUCGAGGACGAGUAUGAGUUAAGCUUAGGGAUGCUAAUACGUCCCCAACGUAUCUAUAAUAUUUGAUUGUUCCAUGCUGUUAUAUUAUCAAUCUUGGUUAUUUUAUAAUCAUUUUGUCAUCAUUUUAUAUCAUUUUUUGGAAACCUACUGACAUAGUGCCAAGUGCCAGUUCCUAUUUUUUCCGUGUUUUUUACAUCGCAGAAAAUCAAUAUCAGAUGGAGUCCAAGUACCAUGAAACUUUGCAGAGAAUUUUUAUGGUCCAAAAGGAAAACAACAGGGCCUGGCUGCGCCCGGGGGGUUCCCCUAGGGGGGCACAAACAACCAGGGCGCGCCAGGAGGCCCAGGCACGCCCUAGUGGGUUGUGCCCACCUAGGGUGCCCCCGGACCGCCUCUUUACUCUAUAAAUACCCCAAAAAUCCCAGAACCCUAGGGGAGUCGACGAAAUAUUUAUCCAGCCGCCACGGAGUCUAGAACCACUAGAUCCAAUCUAGACACCAUCUCGGAUGGGGUUCACCACCUCCAUUGGUUCCUCUCUGAUGAUGCGUGAGUAGUUCUUUGUAGACCAUCGGGAUCGUAGUUAGUAGCUAGAUGGCUUCACCUCUCUCUCUUGAUUCUCAAUACAAUGGUCUCUUGGAGAUCCAUAUGAUGUAAAUCUUUUGCGGUGUGUUUGUUGGGAUUCGAUGAACUUUGACUUUAUGAUCAGAUCUAUCUUUUUAUAUCCAUGAAAGUUAUUUGAGUUUCUUUGAUCUCUUAUAUGCAUGAUUACUUAUAGCCUCUUAUUUCUUCUCUGCUAUUUAGGUUUUGUUUGGCCAACUUGAUCUAUUUAUCUUGCAAUGGGAAGAUGUGCUUUGUAGUGGGUUCGAUCUUACGGUGCUUGAUCCCAGUGACAGAAAGGGAAACAACACGUAUGUAUCAUUGCUACUAGGGAUAAAAUGAUGGGGUCUAUCUCUACAUAGAUAGAUCUUGUCUCCAUCAUGUCAUCAUUCUUAUUGCAUUACUCCAUUUCCCCAUGAACUUAAUAAACUAGAUGCAUGCUGGAUAGUGGUCGAUGUGUGGAGUAAUAGUAGUAGAUGCAGGCAGAAGUCGGUGUACUAAUCUUGGACAGGCUGCCUAUAUAAUGAUCAUUGCGUGGAUAUCGUCAUAAUUAUUCGAGGUUCUAUCAAUUGCCCAACAGUAAUUUUUUCACCCACUAUUUGCUAUUUUUCUCGAGAGAAGCCACUAGUGAAACCUACGGCCCCCGGGUCUUCUUUCUCAUAUAUUUGCCUUUGCGAUCUACUUUUAUUUGCUUUUAUUUUCAGAUCUACUAAACCAAAAACCCAAAAAUACGUUGCUGCACUUUAUUUUAUUCAUGAUCCAUUUAUUCAAUCUAUUACAACUUUCUCCCAUCAUCGCACCAAUUUUUGGCACCAUUACCCGAAAGGGAUUGACAACCCCUUUAACACGUCGGGUUGCGAGGAUUUGUUAUCUGUGUGCAGGGGUUGUUUAUGUUGUGUUCCUUGGUUCUCCUACUGGUUCGAUAACCUUUGUUUCAUAUCUAAGGGAAAUACCUACCGCCGUUGUGCUGCAUCAUUCCUUCCUCUUUGGGGAAAUACCGACAUAGCUUCUAGCGACAUCAAGAGACAUCAUAGAUUGCACCAUAUGUAAUAAAGUACAAUCACGACAUUCAGACACACCAUUACAUUGUGGUGUUCCAGGUGGCGUGAGUUGUGAAACUAUUCCACAUUGUUUUUAAAUGAAGGCCAAACUCAUAACUCAAAUAUUUGCCUCCGUGAUCAGAUCGUAGAAACUUUAUUUUCUUGUUACGAUGAUUCUCCAGUUCACUCUGAAAUUCUUUGAACUUGUUCAAAUGUUUCUGACUUGUGUUUCAUUAAAUAGAUAUACCCAUAUCCGCUCAAAUCAUCUGUGAAGGUCAGAAAAUAACGAUACCCGCCGCGUGCCUCAACACUCAUUGAACCGCAUACAUCGGUAUCUAUUAUUUCCAAUAAGUAAUUAGCUCGCUCCAUUGUUCUGGACAACGGAGUUUUAGUCAUCUUGCCCAUGAGGCAUGGUUCACAAGUAUCAAAUGAUUCAUAAUCAAGUGAUUCAGAAAGUGCAUCUGCAUGGAGUUUCUUCAUGCGCUUUACACCAAUACGACAUAAAUGGCAGUGCCACAAAUAUGUUGCACUAUCAUUAUCAACUUUGCAUCUUUUGGCAUCAAUAUUAUGAAUAUGUGUAUUGCUAUGAUCAAGAUUCAAUAAACCAUUUAUACUGGGUGUAUGACCAUAGAAGGUUUUGUUCAUGUAAACAGAACAACAAUUAUUAUCUGACUUAAUGAAUAACCGUAUUGCAAUAAACAUGAUCCAAUCAUAUUCAUGCUCAAUGCAAACACCACAUAACAUUUAUUUAGGUAGAGGGAGUGUGUGAUGGUGAUCUAAUCAACCUUGGAAUAACUUCCAACAUACGUCAUCACCUCGCCCUUAACUAGUCUUUGUUCAUUCUGUAACUUCUUUUUCGAGUUAUUAAUCUUAGCAAUUGAACUAGUAUCAAAUACCCAGGUGCUACUACGAACACUAGUAACAUACACAUCAAUAAUCUGUAUACCAAAUAUACUUUGUUCACUUUUCCAUCCUUCUUAUGUGCCAAAUGUUUGGAGCAGUUCCACUUCCAUUGACCAUUUCCCUCAGUUUCAGGCUUGGGUCCAGCUUUGGGCUUCUUCACGGGAGUGGCAAGUUGCUUGCCAUUCUUCUUGAAGUUCCCUCUCUUUCCCUUUCCCUUUUUUGAAACUAGUGGUCUUGUUAACCAUCAACAGUUGAUCCUCUUCCUUGAUUUCUACCUUCGCCGAUUUCAGCAUCGCGAAGAGCUUGGGAAUCAUUUUUGUCAUCCUUUGCAUAUUAUAGUUCAUCAUGAAGCUCUAGUAUCUUGGUAAUAGUGACUAGAGAACUUUGUCAAUCACUAUCAUAUCUGGAAGAUUAACUCCCACUUGAUUCAAGUGAUUGUAGUACCCAGACAUCCUGAGUACAUGCUCACUGGCUGAGCUAUUCUCCUCCAUCUUGUAGGCAAAGUACUUGUCAGAGGUCUCAUACCUCUCGACACGGGCGUGAAUAUGAAAUACCAAUUUUUAGCUCUUAGAACCUCUCAUAUGCUCUGUGGCGUUAAAAACAUUUUUGAAGUCCCGGUUCUAAGAUAUAAAGCAUGGCGCACUAAACUAUCAAGUAGUCAUCAUACCGAGCUUGUCAAAUGUUCAUAACAUUUGCAUCUGCUCCUACAAUAGGUCUGUCACCUAGCGGUGCAUCGAGGACAUAAUUCUUGUGUGCAGCAAUGAGGAUAAUCCUUAGAUCACGGACCCAGUCCGCAUCAUUGCUACUAUCAUAUUUCAACUUAGUUUUCUCUAGGAACAUAUAAAAAAUAAAACAAGAGAGCUAUACGUGAGCUAUACAACAUAGAUAUGCAAAUACUAUCAGGACUAAGUUCAUGAUAAAUUAAGUUCAGUUAAUCAAAUUACUUAAGAACUCCCACUUAGAUAGACAUCCCUCAAGUCAUCUAAAUGAUACGUGAUCCAAAUCAACUAAACCAUGUCCGAUCAUCACGUGAGAUGGAGUAGUCAUCAAUGGUGAACAUCAUGCUGAUCAUAUCUACUAUAUGAUUCAGGUUCGACCUUUCGGGCUCCAGUGUUCCGAGGCCAUGUCCGUACAUGGCAGGCUUGUCAAGUUUAACCCGAUUAUUCCGCAUGUGCAAAACUGCCUUGCACCCGUUGUAUGUGAACGUACAGUCUAUCACACCCGAUUAUCACGUGGUGUCUCGACACGACGAACUGUCGCAAUGGUGCAUACUCAGGGAGAACACUUAUACCUUGAAAUUUUAGUUAAGGGAUCAUCUUAUAAUGCUACCACCGUACUAAACGAAAUAAGAUGCAUAAAAGAUAAAUAUCACAUGCAAUCAAAAAAUGUGACAUGAUAUGGCCAUCAUCAUCUUGUGCUUUUGAUUUCCAUCUCCAAAGCAUUGUCAUGAUCUCCAUCGUCACCCGCUCGACACCUUGAUCUCCAUCAUAGCGUUGUGGUCAUCUUGCCAACUAUUGCUUCUACAACUAUCCCUAACGCAUAGUGAUAAAGUAACGCAAUUACAUGGCAUUUGCAUUUCAUACAAUAAAGAGACAACCAUAAGGCUCCUGCCGGUUGCUAGAUAUCCUACAAAACAUGAUCAUCUCAUACAAUAACAUUUAUCACAUCAUGUCUUGACCAUAUCACAUCACAACAUGCCCUGCAAAAACAAGUUAGGCAUCCUCUACUUUGUUGUUGCAAGUUUUAUGUGGCUGCUAUGGGCUUCUAGCAAGAACCGUUCUUACCUACGCAUCAAAACCACAACGGUGAUUUAUCAAGUUUGCUGUUUUAACCUUCAACAAUGACCGGCCAUAGUCAAAUUCAAUUCAACUAAAGUAGGAGAAACAGACACCCGCCAACCACCUUUAUGCAAAACUAGUUGCAUGUCUGUCAGUGGAACCAGUCUCAUGAACGUGGUCAUGUAAGGUUGGUCCGGGCCGCUUCAUCCAACAAUACAGCCGAAACAAAAUAAGACAUUGGUGGUAAGCAGUAUGACGACCACCGCCCACAACUCUUUGUGUUCUACUCAUUCAUAUCAUCUACACAUAGACCUGGCUCGGAUGCCACUUUUGGGAAAUGUAGCAUGCAAUUUCAAAAAAUCCUACGCUCAUGCAAGAUCUAUCUAGGAGAUGCAUAGCAACAAGAGAGGGAGAUUGUGACCACGUACCCUCGUAGACCAAAAGCAGAAGCGUUUGACAACGCGGUCGAUGUAGUCGAACUUCUUAUAGAUCCGACCGAUCAAGCACCAAACUCCGAGUUCUGCACACAUUCAGCUUGAUGAUGUCCCUCGUCCUAUUGAUCCAGCAAAGGUGCUGAGGAAGAAGAUGAGUUCCGUUAGCACAAUAGCGUGGUGAUGGUGAUGGUGAAGUGAUCCGCGUAGGGCUUCGCCUAAGCACUACGAAGAUAUGACCGGAGGCGUAAACUAUGGAGGGGGCGCCACACACGGCUAACAAUUGUUGGUGUGUAUUCUAGGCGCCCCCUCCCCAUAUAUAUAUAUAUAUAGGUGGGAGGGAGAGAGGAUCCUCCCCCAAUUCGGCCACCCCCUUUCCUUAUUUUCGAAGAGAAAGAGGGAAGGGGGAAGGGAGAAAGGAAAGGGGGGGCAAACCCCCGUUGCUCCUUCUCCAAUUCGGCCACAUGCCUAAGGGGUCGCGCCACCCCUUGUGGGCUGGUGUGCUCCCCUCUUAUGGCCCAUAUGGCCCAUAUCUCCCCCUGGUAUUCCGAUAAAUACCCGAUAUGAUCCGAAACACUUCUGGUAUCAGAAUACUAUCAUCCUAUGUAUCAAUAUAUACUUAUCGACCAUUUCGAGACUCCUCGUCAUGUCCAUGAUCUCAUCCGGGACUCCGAACAACAUUUGGUCACCAAAUCACAUAACUUAUAUAAUACUAAAUUGUCAUCAAACGUAAAGCAUGCGAACCCUACGGGUUAGAGAACUAUGUAGACAUGACAGAGACACCUCUCCGAUAAAUAACCAAUAGCGGAACCUAGAUGCUCAUAUUGGCUCCUACAUAUUCUAUGAAGAUCUUUAUCGGUCGAACCGUUAUGACAACAUACGUUAUUCCCUUUGUCAACGGUGUGUUACUUGCCCGAGAUUUGAUCGAGGUAUCUUCAUACCUAGUUCAAUCUCGUUACCGGCAAGUCUCUUUACUCAUUCCAUAAUACAUCAUCCCACAACUAACUCAUUAGUAACUUUGCUUGCAAGGCUUCUUAUGAUGUGCAUUACCGAGAGGGCCCAGAGAUACCUCUCCGAUACUCGGAGUGACAAAUCCAAAUCUUGAUCUAUGCUAACCCAAAAAACACCUUCGGGGAUACCUAUAGAGCAUCUUUAUAAUCACCCAGUUACGUUGUGAUGUUUGAUAGCACACAAGGUAUUCCUCCGGUACCCGAGAGUUGCAUAAUCUCAUAGUCAAAGGAAUAUGUAUUUGACAUGAAGAAAGAAAUAGCAAUAAAACUGAACGAUCAAUAUGCUAAGCUAACUGUCGGGGAAAACAGACAGGGGUAUGUAUUUUCCCCUAACUCGUGCAUAGAGGAGCCAAGGCCUUGCCGAGGUAUGAGGAACCAAGAGCUUCAGAGGACCAACAUGUGGAUCAAGAGGACCAAGAUCAAGCUAGAGAAGCAAGGCACCACCAGGAGAAAAGCCUCCCUUGCCAGGCAGGCGAGCUCGGCAAGGGGCGAGGCCACCCCCGGAAGAAGACGUCCAAGGUGUCCCGGCAGGGCCUGCCAGGACACACGGAAGCAAAACCACCUGACCAACUACUCCGCCACGAGCCACAUCGUCAAUUAGUGCGGCGUCAAGCCGCAAAGUGACUAAGCGGCAGCCAUUCGCCACAUGGUAGCCUCUCCCUACAUGAAAUACCUCCAGAUGACACUCGUCCUGCGAUGUGUCGAGCGAGCAGGCGUGGAGCUGGCGAGAUAGCCCGGCAAGCCUUACCGGGCAACCAACAAUGUGACACUGAGUGGUGCAUUUAAUGCACCUUGUCAGCCAGCAGAGUUAGGUAUGAUAGCACUGUUAGCUAUCUUAUCAGUGCAUAAUGACUGCUUUGCCAUUGUGGUAACCCCUUGAUCUAUGAAAGGAGGCCCAUGGAAACCGUAGAAAGGGUUAGAAGGUUGGAUAACUCACACCCCCAUACUCGCGUGGCCACUGCCGCCCUGAGGCAACACCUGUCGGGCAAGUGUACUAUGCUCCACCACCACCUUUCCACCAUCAAUCCACGAAAGCAGGAGUAGGGUUUUACGCAUCGUGGCGGCCUAAACCUAGGUAAAAAUGCCUGCAUGAUCUCUGUCGUGCUACCCCAUGCUCGUCUGCUCUUUGUGCAACGCGAUGCCCUCCUGCUGAACCAGCAAGCGGCCAUCUAGUCCCAUAGGUGGCCAUGGUUUCCUAUGACAUCUUUGGUGCCCUAGGUAGGGGGACCACUUGCGCGAACCUGAAGGUGUGUGCAAUGCACUCUAUCCGUGGUCGUCCACUCAAAGCUUAUGGCAUUUGCGGUGCCCUUGAAGACACGGAAACUAAGCGGGGUCAUCCCCGUGCCACAUUGCUCGCCUCCGUGCCUCGUCGCAGCCACGGCUGUGAUGAAGAUCUCCCUAGAGAUAAUAUGCCCGCCUCGGUGGCCCAUAUGGCUUAACUGCCAUUCGGGCACCGUCUGGGGAAAGGGGACAAGAUAUGCUGGAGCAAGCUCCCUCAUCCCCGUCUCUUCCCUUUGUUAGCAGUCAAGCCGCUUUAGCCAUGGCGUCGUCAAUGUCGAUGAUUACCGCGACGCUCGGUCUAGAAUUACCCCCAAUUCAGGAAAUCCUGAGUAAAGCGCUGGUAUGAAUCUGCUGGUUGAUGCCUCGCAAGCACGGCUCAGCGAGGCUGACUGCAUUGGCAUGAUCCAUGUGACGAUAGCCGCCCAGCUGACUUGAAGAAAAGGGGAAGUAAAAAGGGGGGACUAGAGGAGCCUGGCGCUGUACUCCGAGGCCUGCUAGCCGCACGAGACACGUGUCGGUCCCUGCCAGGAGCAAAGAAACUGCCUGCUCGGCUUCCACUCCUAUGGGCGUCGCUAGCGCACCAAGCGCAUGUGGCCCGGCAGAGGAGAAUGAAGCCUAAAACAAAAGCCAAGUCUAGAUUAUCGCUUCUCGUUGAUGCAACUUUGGGUUUUCAUGGUUGUUUAUCCCUUGACUUUAGUGAGUGUUCAUAUCGUGAAAACCCUCAUGCGAUGGAACCUUGGUUAGUUUCUUUGAUCUCUCCAUCAACCUGUCCCGAGCCAGCAUUGCAGGUUGAGAGGCUGUGUCAAGAACUACCUAGGAAAAACCUGUCGGGACGCAUCCACGCCAAAAUGACUGUUAAGGGCUAGACCCUUACGACAAUCACGGCAAUAUAAUAUAGGCAGGCAUCCAGAGCAGAUAUAGGGUUGGAUCAUACGAACACAAACAUACAAAGCUCAAUGAGAUAAACACACAUUUAAAGAUUUAACAGAAGAUAUCAGUUCCAUGUGAACACUAGAGACAAAGAGACUAAACACAAUAGUACACGUCAUGUUUCAUUACAGGGAGACGCGGGAGCAACAACGACCCGAUACUGGUCUAGGCACCAGGUGAAGCUGUUCAGACUUGAAGGACCAUGUCGGCCCUGGGAGUGGAUUUCUCCUUGUGGGUUGCGACAUAAGCGCCCAUUGGCGGCUUCUUGAAUCCAUCGGCAAGGUCGAGGUCUGGAUGGCAGCAGGCAAUAUUGCUCUAGACCAUGAAGAGGGCAUCGCGGGCAAGCCUCCGGGACUCGGUUGCGAAGCGCUUGGCCCUUCCCUCCUCAGGGACCUUCAACUUCUUGAUCAGCUCGUUGAAGAAGACUCCCAGCUUGAUGCUUGGGACCUCUUGCUUGCUGGUCGAGAAGACUGGGCCAUCCAUGCCCAUCACCGCAACUUGGGCGCCGGGGCGCUCGGUGAUGUUGAUCAGGCUCUUGAUCCAGAGGUUGACCUUCUCGGACUGAUUCUUCAGCUUGUCCUCUGCAUCCUGCCAGAGACACUUGGCGGUGUCCAGAACCUUGGUCAGCAGCUGUUCGCAGGACUCACGGGACUCAGCCAUGCUUUCCAAGGUGUCGAUCCUGGCCUUCAGGUCCCUAAUGGUGCCAUUGGCAGUGUCAAGGCUCUGGGUAUUGGAGGAGAGCUGUGAUUGGGCAUCAGUCAAGAGGACCCCCGCCUUCCGUGCUUCUUCCUUGAGUGUCUCCACCUCCUUGACGCUCCCGGCAAGGUCCUCAUUCAGCUUAACCACCUGCCGGUCGAGAUCAAUUUUGGCGGCGGAUGCGACAACCAUAUCUUUAGUGAGCUUCUUCAGCUAAGCAGUAGAAUCAGUGGCAAGGGUAUCCAGUCCAGCUUUAUGCUUGUCAUCCAAUUCCUUGGUGCAUUGUUGCACAAGAGCCUCAAAUCUUCAUCCUUGGCGCGGAGAGUGGCUUUGAUUUUCUAUUCUUGGAGGGAGAUCUCUUGCUCUCUGGCGUCUAGAGAUGUCUUGCGGUCCGCCAGGCACGCCUCACGGGCCAUGACAUCCUCCCCCGUCAUCAGGAGCGUCUCUUGCUGCCUCGUGAGCACCUUGAAUUGCUUGUCGUGCCAUUAGCGCAGCUCCAAGCAUUUGUUCUUCAUCUUCUGGUCCAUCCUGCCGGCGGACUCGCGCCGCUCCUUGAGCUCCUUCCACUUUUGAUUGUGCCAGGCCUGCAUCUCCUUCACGCCCGCCACCAUAGAAUCCAUGAAAGACAAAUCCAUUGUGAUCGCGGUUGAGUCGUCGGCCUCUCCAGCUCCUAGGUACAGCGAUGUCAGGAGGCAUUGAAGCUCUUCAUCGAGCUCUGCGUCCGUUGUCAAAGACAGUCCAGGGCUUCGGUUUCAGCCAACGACAACACCAUGGCCAGCGUGUCUAAGGAGGGCGGAGGAGCCUCGAUGACGAUCGCAGAGGAGGGGAGUGGAUCUAUAGUUUGGAGGGGGAUCUUCACCUCAACCACUAUUUUCUCUUCCCAGGCGUCCUCCGAAGAGUGCUCCACCACGGCCAGGGAGCCCUGGACUAGGGGGUCCUCAGGCAUCCAGACUAUGGUACGUGGGCCGGACUGAUGGGCUGUAAAGAUACCAGACCGAAGAUUAUCUCCCGUGUCCGGACGGGACUAUCCUUGGCAUGGAAGGCAAGUUUGGCGUACCAAUAUGAAGAUUCCUUUCUCUGUAACCGACUUCGUACAACCCUAGUCCCCUCUAUUGUCUAUAUAAACCGGAGGGCUUAGUCCGUAGAGGACAAGAAGAAGAAGAAUCAUAAUCAAAUAUGCUAGACUUCUAGGGUUUUAGCCAUUACAAUCUCGUGGUAGAUCAACUCUUGUAACCCCCAUACUCAUCAAUAUUAAUCUAGCAGGACGUAGGGUUUUACCUCCAUCGAGAGGGCCCGAACCUGGGUAAACAUUGUGUUCCCUGUCUCCUGUUACCAUCAACCUCAGACGCACAAUUCGGGACACCCUACCCGAGAUCCGCCGGUUUUUACACCGACAUUGGUGCUUUCAAUGAGAGUUCCGUUGUGUCGUCAUCAGGAGGUUCGAUGGCCCCGUCAAUCAUCUACAACAACGUUGUCCAGGGAGAAACCUUCCUCCCCGGACAGAUCUUUGUAUUCGGCGGCUUUGCACUGCAGGCCAACUCGUGUGGCCAUCUAGAGCAGAUCGAUAGCUAUGCCCCUGGCCGUCAGGUCAGAUUUGGAAGCUUGAACUACGCCGCGGAUAUCCGUGGAGACUUGAUCUUUGACUGAUUCGAGACCAUGGCAGUCGCUCCCUACCACCAUGAUGAACAUGACUUAAAUCUAUCAUGGGACCAUGCCCAGGGGAUAGCGCCUAUAACUGCUCCGGCCCUGGAUCCGGGGCAGAUUGCGCCAUCGGAGGACGGGAGGCUCAACCCUGCCACGGAAAUCACAGACUCAGCGGCAUCAGAGCCGCACACUGACCCAACCCCGAGUGGGAUCCGUGUCACCGGAACCCCGGACCCCUUUCCGGCUACAAGUUCUGAACCAUGUGCGUCCGCGCACGACGAGCUUGAUCAGGCAUCGAUCGUUGAAUUCGGCUCCGCAGACAUCUUCCAACACUCGCCUUUAGGAGACGUGCUAAACUCAUUAAAAACACUCUCCUUAGCGGGGUACUCACAACCGAAUUAUACUGGUUCGAAUAGGAGGCCGAUGAUGGAGAAUUUUGCUUCCCAAGCCCCGCCCACUUAAUAGCCAAUGUCGAAGACUUAACUGACAUGCUCGAGGUUCCGACGACAUCGACAGUAUGGACGACGAUGCCGGAGAAGAAGGCCAAAACCCACCAUUUACUGGAUGCUGGACGGCCACUUCGUCGUAUGACGUAUACAUGGUGGAUGCACCAAAAGAGAAUACCGGCGAUGACAAGGAAGAUCUAGUUGAGGAUAAACCCUCCCGAGAUACAACCAAAGCGCUGGCGUUAGCGACGGUGCUCUAAGUCACGCCGCAGCAAAGACAGCAACACUGGCAUAGGAGAAGAGAACACUCUGGACGGUGCCGAAUACAAUGAAGACCCCGUUGAGACAACUUCCGAACAAGAUGAACGGGAAGACGGGCAAGUUAGCCCUGAUGAACGAGCCACGCAUGAAGACUCGGAGGAUAGUAAUUAUGUUCCGCUCUCCGAGGAUGAGGCGAGCAUCGGCACCGAGGAUUUUAUGGUGCCCGAGGAACCUCUCGAGAAGGAGCGCUUCAAGCGCCAGCUAAUAGCCACUGCAAUGAGCCUGAAAAACAAACAGCAACAGCUUCAAGCUGAUUAAGAUCUGCUCAAUGAUAGAUUGAGUGAUGUCCUGGCAGCCGAGGAAUACAGCCUCAAGCGCCCAACCAAAAGUUACCCGAAGCGCAAAUUGCUACCUCAGUUCGAUGACGAGGCGUUGGAGCCCGUACCAUCAUCGCGCAAUGUGGCUGACCGACUAGCACGUGGUCGGGAUAAAGCAGCAGCUCAAGCCGAACACUAGCCUGUCCUACCUCACCGUAAAGGCAGAGAUAAAACAGCUCGAGGACACACAUAUGACCUACGGCAGGACUUGGACAAUAGAGCAGGUCAGAACAGAUCGAUCUAUGGAUCACGGGGACGUGCCCCAACACGCGAUAACGGCUAUAUAGCCGGACACAAUAGUCACUCUCACGCCCGUGCUGAGAACUGCAGACGGACUCCAUCCAAGCUACGUCGUGACGUGGCCUGAUAUAGAAGCGCCGCUCACCCACUUUGCUUCACCGACGAAGUAAUGGAGCAUGAACUCCCAGAAGGGUUUAAACCCGUAAACAUCGAAUCAUAUGAUGGGACAACAGACCCCGCGGUAUGGAUCGAGGAAUUUCUUCUUCACAUUCAUAUGGCCCGCGGUGAUGAUCUCCAUGCCAUCGAAUACCUCCCACUAAAACUCAAAGGACCAGCCGGCACUGGUUGAACAGUCUGCCUGAAAACUCCAUUGGCAACUGGGAGGACUUGGAAUAGGCCUUCCUUGACAACUUCCAAGGUACAUACGUUCGACCUCCGGAUGCUGAUGACUUAAGUCACAUAAUUCAACAGCCCGGAGAGUCAGCCAGGAAACUUUGGACUAGGUUCUUCACUAAAAAGAACCAGAUCAUCGAUUGUCCGUAUGCCGAAGCCUUGGCGGCCUUUAAACACAGUAUCCGGGACAAAUGGCUCGCCCGACACCUCGGCCAAGAGAAGCCGAAGUCCAUGGCAGCCCUUACGGCACUUAUGACCCGCUUUUGUGCGGGUGAAGAUAGCUGGCUAGCCCAUAGCAAUAACAGUGCAAGCGAACCUGGCACUGCGGAAGCCAAAAAUAGCAAUGGCAAGCCCCGAUGCAACAGACACAAGCAUCGAAACAAUGGUGAUAAUACUGACGACACGAUGGUCAACGCCGGAUUUAGCGGCUCCAAGUCCGGCCAGCGAAAGAAGCCGUUCAAAAGGAAAAAUUCGGGCCCAUCGAGCUUGAACCGCAUACUCGAUUACCCAUGCCAGAUACACGGAAGUCCUGACAAGCCAGCCAAUCACACCAACAGAGACUGUUGGGUUUUUAAACAGGUCGGCAAGUUAAAUGCCGAGAACAAGGAGAAGGUGUCGCAAAGCAAAGACGAUGACGAGGAGCCCCGGCCACCGAACAUAGGGGGACAGAAGAAGUCCCCCCCCCCCCAAGUUAAAGCAGUAAACAUGAUAUACGCAACCCACAUCCCCAAGAGGGAACGCAAGCGCGGGCUCAGGGACAUCUAUGCGAUGGAGCCAGUCGCCCCAAAGUUUAACCCAUGGUCUUCCUGCCUGAUCACUUUUGAUCGCAGGGACCAUCCGACUAGUAUCCGUCAUGGCGGUUCAGCCGCACUAGUCCUUGACCCAAUCAUUGAUGGAUUUCACCUCACGCGAGUCCUCAUGGAUGGUGGUAGCAGCCUGAACCUGCUCUAUCAGGAUACAACGCGCAAAAUGGGCAUUAAUCCAUCAAGAAUUAAGCCCACAAAGACUACCUUUAAAAGGAGUCAUACCAGGUGUAGAGGCCCGCUGUACGGGCUCAAUCACACUAGAGGUUGUCUUCGGAUCUCCGGACAACUUCCAGAGCGAAUAGCUGAUCUUCGAUAUCGUCUCCUUUCGCAGCGGCUAUCAUGCACUGCUCGGACGAACCACAUUUGCACGCUUCAACGCGGUGCCACACUACACUUACCUUAAGCUCAAGAUGCCCGGUCCAAGUGGUGUCAUAACAGUCAAUGGAAACAUGGAAUGCUCCCUCCGCACUGAGGUGCACACCGCUGCGUUAGCAGCAGAAGUACAGAGUGGCCUCCUCAAGCAGAACCUUAAUUCAUCGGCCGAGCUCCCGGACACUGUCAAAUGAGUCUGGACUACUCAGCAGAAGGACAACCCAGCUCGUCAAGAGCUCGAAGAGCAAUUCGGCCUUCUUCCGAGUCCCAACCAAGAAGCAGCAUUCGUACCACGCAUACAUAACUACGCACUCAAAAUACCAUGGGCAUAGACGGAGUCAUAACUACCUUGUUAUCCAUAAUAUGGCUCGACCGCUCCUGGACACACAUACUUUCAAUUUUUCCUUUUUAUCAUUUUUAGGUCUUUUUUCCGCAGGUUUCUUCCGACGACCUGAUCAUCGGUCCUCUCGGCAGGAUGGAUACACCAAGAUGGCAAGAAGCACUGGCGUACAAGGGAAUUCUUAGAUUGUCUCUUUAACGAUCACUCUACUUGCUUUCAGGACCCGCACGCGGCUCUCCCUUGGUCGUGGCAUGUUAAAUAGCCCAGUUGCUUAUCGCACCACUUGUACAAAUACGCUUUGACAUUUUAAUCAAACUAUAAUGGAAACAGUUUGCGGCCCAACUUCUGCGGCACUAGCUUACUACCCUUUUUCCUUUUUCUUUGAUGAUUUUUCUCAAAGUUGCGACCGUACAGUUUGGUACGCUUUAAUCUGUCAGGGGCUUCAUCGCGACCCAUAAUACGGCAACAAAGUACGAACACUUUCUACAACAUAGUUCGGCACCCUGAAUUUAGCAUUAUAUGCAUUGGCUCCGGAUCUUGUCUUUGGUCAAUAGUUGGGUUGCCCGGCUCCUAUGCUUACUACCCUACGUUCUGCUAUAUCGGCUAGGGUAGAAAAGGGAGAACUACUGCGAUUGUGUCAUGGUUUAUCCGGAUGAGCACCUCCGUAGAGAAAGACGAAAACUAAGUGUCAUGAUGCGGCGAGAGCCGGUCAGCUCUUUGGAGGUUUCAAAUCUUUAGCGAUUUUUCCGCAUUAUGCGAUGAAUCGGCUUUUUACCCAAUCAGGUGUUUACAGUACCCUAGUUCGGAUACUAGGGGCUGCGACUAAAUAUUCAUUGUAGAACUCCUAUGGCUAAGUGAGAGUGAUAAAGCCACAUAGUCCGAUUGGCUGGUUUGUUGCGCUAAACACCUCCUUUAAGGACCAAACAAAUUGGAUCAAGAGUGUUUAGAUUCCAUCCCAAACACCCCUGUACUACCUACGUGGGGGUUGAUGCGGACGAUUGGCCAACCCUCAAAAUUUCAUAAACACGGCCACACUGGAGGUAAAAUAUUAAACAAACAUUAUAUCACAUAGCCGAACUUGUUUUUAUAAUACAGGGCGAGACAAUAUAACUGUGUUCAUUCAAAUAUUACAUCCUUCGUACACUGCUCUACCACAAUGCGGGAUCCCUCAAGGACUUCGCAAAAAUAUCACUCGGGCGUGCGGUGCUCCUUGCCGACGGGCGGUCCCUCGGUCGCGAUCGUGGCACCAUUUAUCUUCGCCCAAUGCAUCUUGACAUGGGCGAAGGCCAUUCGCGCACCUUCGAUACAAACCGACCGCUUGAUGCGGCAAGGCGAGGGCAUGCAUUAACUAGCCGUGUCACGAGACCGAAGUAACUGUUGGGUAUAGCUUCGGGUGGCCACAGCCGGACUAUCAAGUCCUUCAUGCCCAGUUUGGCCACCCUAUGCAGUUCUACUAGCUGUUUUAGCUGGUCGCUCAAGGGCACCGAAUGUUCUGGCGCAAGGUAUUGCAACCAGAACAGUUUCUCCGUCGAGCUCCCCUCUUCGGCUCGGAAGAAUUCAGUAGCAUCAGAAAUGAUGCGCGACAGAUCCGCAAACGCCCCUAGAGAACUCCAAAUCCGGGUCAUUAAGAGAUACCUCUUCUUCACAUUCUUGCUUUGCAUAAUAAAAGCCUUACCCGCUGCGAUCUUUUUGGCCUCCUAGAUUUCCUCUUGUUCUUCGGUCCGGGCCUCUUGUGCGCUCUGGCGGGCCUUCUCAAGUUCGGACUCUUGGUCCGCAUGCUGACGCUCCAAGGACUCGUAUUUCUUCAAGGAGUCCUGGUGCUCCUGCUGGACCUCCCCAAACCCUGGCCUCAUGCUUCUCCCGGAUGGCUUGUUCCUUCGCCGCCCUCUCCUCGGACUCGGCCAGUGUUUUCUUGAGGGUUUCAACCUCAGUCUCCGCUCCUACAAACAUCAAGGCACUACAAUCAAUAUACAUAAUUUAUUCUUUCCGAAUAUACAGCAAGUCUCCAUAUACCUUGCUCGUCCUCUAGCUACCUUUUCACAAGGCCGAGCUCUUCUUCGGCCCGCUCCAGACUCUACUUUAGUCUAGAUACCUCAACGGCAUGAGAGGUGGCGGCCAGCAGCGACACCUGUGUUCAUAAGACAUAUUUAGUUAGUUUCCUGCGAAAAUUACUUGAUCCUUUGUCCGGCCUUUCUUUCUGAACACUGGACAAUGUCUCAGGGGCUACACUGUCUAUACUAUGACCUUCUCUUUCGCAUCGCUUACCUCAAAGCCUAUCAGCAAGCUGGUGCAGGCUUCAGUCAGUCCGCUCUUGACAGACUAAACCCUCUCAACCACCAUACCCAUAAGGAUACGGUGUUCCUCCACAAUGGAAGCGCCUCGCAGCGCUUCCAGCAGAUUAUCCGGUGCCUCUGGUUGGACAGAGGUCACCGGUGGAAUAAGCACACCUCCUUCUUUCGAAGGAGGCUGCUUGCUGGAUUUCGGACCUUUAUAGGUCUUUGGAACCGUAUUCGGCUUGGGUCCGAACUGGACACAGCCCCCAUCGCCAGUCUCCAUGGGGGUUCUCUCUCCUAGGUGUCCGACAGCCAAAGGGUCACCCUCUGGCUCCACCCGGAUAGCCUCCUGAACCUCUCCUUGGCCCGGGAAGGUCCUUUGGGACAGCACCUUGUCGUCGCCCUUGGCUGUGGGAGAUUGAGCGUCCAGUGGUGACUCGCUGGCCAUCGCCUUUGAAUCCAGCUGUGACACCCCAAAUUUUUGACCUUGUUUUAUUAAUUAAAAUUUUUGCCAGGAAAUUAAAACUUUUAUUUUCUGGGCUCCCUUUUUAUUUUUGAACCUUUUCCUCCCUCGAUUUAUGAAGUUUUUCCCCAAAGUAAGAACUUUUCAAAUAUGUUAUUGGACUUGUUUAACCUCUCUAGAAAAAACUUUUCUUUUAUUGGUAGAACAAAUUACAUAAUUAAUUUGCUUGACCUUUAUGUUCUUGAAAAAUGGUUCUCCAAGGUUAUAUGGCCAUAAUUGAACUACAACCAUUUGAAAAAUUCACUUAAAAUUUCAACCAAAAUUUGGAGAUGUCAUGUGAUGUUUUUAAAUCACUUUUAUACAAAAAUAUCUUUUAUUCUUGAAAUAUUUUGAGCUCUGCAUCCAAUUUUCUUCUCUGGUCCAGAGUGCAAUUUUGCACUACAACCCAUUUAAAUAUUUCUUUCUAGCCUCCACCAAAAUUAUGGGAUGUUGGUAGUAGCAUAUGAUUCAACAUUAUGCAAAAACCUAGUGCUGUUCUUUGAAAUUUUUGAGAGAAUCAACCUCUUUUCCAUUCUGGUCCAGCCUAGGUGAUUUGCAAAGCAAGUACCUAAUUUCCUUUGAGUUUUGAUCUCAAACCAACUCCUCUGGAUAGUCCUUAGCACCCACAACCUAGGACCAUCAAGAUCCACUCUUCUUCUUUUUAAAAUUUUCAAGUUUCAGCCUCUGCAAGUUUGGACCAGAUUUGUCAAAUUUGGUGAAAUUCAUAUUUUCUCUUCUCCAAAAAUUCUACCAAAAUUCAGGCAGCCUCCUGGUGCAAUGAGAGGCCACUCCACCAAGUUUCAGCUCAAGGAAAAAUCCCUUCAUGCCAAAAGCAUUCUGUCGAACACCUGAACUGCACUGUUUCUUUGCACUUUCAGAAAUUCAGUAAAGUUCAGAGUUUCAGUUUCAUCAGAGUUUGGUCACGCGACCAUAGUGCACCCUGGCGCGAUGCACACGGCCCCAUCCCCUUUGCCAGCACCCCGCACGCGCGCUUGGCGCCUUCCUGGCAUCGGUGGCGCCCUGGCCCGCCUGCGCCGGCGUGUCCCGCGGCGGCAGAGCCACCGUAGCGGCCGACAGGGGGCAACACUGCGGCAUAAUGCCGUUCAGCACUGCCCAAACCUUCUGAGAGCUCCGCGUGGCCACCUCCUUGCCAGCGCAUGCAUGCAGCACCGUCGCCGUGGCCAGGCACGCGCAGAGCGCGUUCUCUACCGCCGGCGUGCCGUGCGGCCGUUCCGUCGAGGGCAGGCCAUAAUCCUCCCUUCCGUGCUGAGUUGGACACUGGGAUGGCACCGCUGAUUCACCUAGACGAUGCUCAAGCCCCUAAGCCGACCGUCCACCCACAGCGCCGCCGUAAUCGCCCGCCGGACUUAUCCGUUCACGGCAACCGCCUCGGGCCGUCUAUAUAUAGCCCCCCCGAGCUUGCUCUUGCCCCCGCACAACUCCACCACCUCGCCAGACCCCGCCUAGCCACUGGAGGAACCUCGAGGAGCCUUUCUUCCUCGACUCCGGCCACCUCCGUCCGCCUCGGGCUCCGGCAACGUUCUCUUCGGUGAGGCCGUCCCCGGCGCCCAGACUCCGUCAAUCACCUCCUCUAGCUACCAGAGGCCUAACCACCUCCUCAAUUUGCCCUUCGCAGCACUCUCCGGCGAGCUCCAUCCACGCCCGAACCACCGUCCGCCGGAGCAGGAGCCACCGCCGACGUGGUGCUCGCCGACCACCACCACCACCACCAACCGACGCGGAGUGACGCCAUGAGCACGUUGGUAACCUCCGAUCCCCCUGCCUCGCCGUAGAUCGCCGCUGGCGAUCGCCGCGGCCCUCUAGCGCCAAAGCACUGCCUCUGUUUUCAAACCCGAUGGGUGGGUCCGCCCUGUCAGCCUUUUAUUCUUUUCGAAUCGUUUUCUGGAAACGCCUUCGGGCAAAAUACGCUUUCUCCACUGAACUGGCGUAUUCGGGACUGAAGCGUUUUCUGAUUUUAUAAAGAGAACCCUGGAAACUUUCUGUUUCAUUACAGAAAAGUCCCUGGAUUAAAACUCUUAUAACUUUUAAAACAGAAAAUGAUUUUUGAUUGAUUCUUUUUCUGUCCUAUUUAAAUUUUUGUCUAGUUUUUAUCAUAUUUAUUUGAAAAAAAUUUCAAACAACUUUUUUUGUGCUGUUUUGAAAUUGUGUGUUAAUUCAAAUUUAUUGAAAAUAGGAUUUUGGAGAGAGGAAGAAAACUUUCAAAAGUUUUGGAGAGCACCCCCACCUCUCCACACCUUGAAGGCAAGCAUCUUGAACCCUGGCAUAAAAUUUUUGAUGUGUUGGUUGACACGAUUAUAACACCACCUUAUUUCGGAAAACUCGUUAUUUUAUGUGAUGAUGCGAUCAUUUGCAUGAAUGCAUAUUAGUGAUUUCCUCGCUGUUCGAAAUGAAUAUACUUGUGAUGGUAAUCAUCCUCAUGUGCCUUGCAUGCAUGCCGGAAAGGAAUCCGGGAAAGCCUCUGCCUUGGGUAGGAGUGAGCUUGUCGCUGGUCCCCGUCGGGACGGUUAUGUCCGGCAUGGCAUAGUAAGGUAUAAUGGGUGGUGAUUUUGUUGGUCGAAAUAUACUUUCUAUACAUGUCAUGCAGGGAAUUUGUAAGCCUCCUGAGUCGGCCAUAGAUCGAGUCUUGUUCCGGUAACCCCCAUACUUGUUUCGUACUGCCACUGGUCCCUACCGUAGGUGGGGUAUGGUUCAGUAAGUUGUUAACCCUUGUCUUGGCACACACCGUACAGAGAGGCCAUGGUGGAAGAUACCGGUUGUAGCUGGUAGGCAUGCCACCUGGUCCGGGGGCAUGGGUGUAUCCGGUUGGGACCGAGAGGGGGGCACCCCUUAGAGCGCGUGAUAGAAAUUUGAUCCCAUGCUACGCGAGGUUGUAGCCUCCCCACUUAGAGUUUUGCUUAACAAGUGUCGUGGGUGAUUCCAGAAACGAGUAAAAGCUGGUGUGUGCAAGUCAGGUGUGUUUUCAAUUAAAAGACCAUAGACGGAAUUAGUCCCGAUGGACUAAAGGAAUCCGUUACUCGUGGGUAAAGAGUACACCCUCUGCAGAGAUAUUAAACCUAUUCGAAUAGCCGUGUCCAUGGUUAAGGAUUACAGUCUGGGAUGGGUCAAGUGUCGGUCUUAGUGUCGGUCUUCGGAGGAGAAACUACUAAACUCGAAUAUUGAUGAUGACAUGUGAUAUAUGAUGGUUAUGAUUGUUAUCAUUAUGGACUAACCGGUUGUAUUGUUUGAAAUAAGGAAUAUCCCUGGGACGGUACCACCUCCUGGAUAUUCACUAUGAUUAUAAGCCCUUUAUGUGGCGUCGCUCGGACGCCCGACUAUGGCAGGUUCGUUAUUUCAUUUAUUUUUUACAAGCCCUUUAUGUGGCGUCGCUCAGACGCUCGACUGUGGCAGGUUCGUUAUUUCAUUUAUCUUUACAAGCCCUUUAUGUCGUGUCGCUCAGACGCCCGACUGUGGCAUGUGGUUACUUCAUUUACUCAUAAGCCCUUUAUGCGGCGUCGCACAGACGCCCGACUGCGGCAUGUUUGUUAUUUCAUUUUCUUAUAAGCCCUUUAUGUGGCGUCGCUCAGACGCCCAACUGUGGCAUGCUUGUUAUUUUAUUUACUUUAUAAGCCCCUUACGUGGUGUCGCUAAGACGCCCGACUGAGGCAUGCUCACUUUUACCAUCCUUUCGAGAUGUCGCUUCAGACAUCCGAUCGGUGCAUUUUAUUUCUAUUCUGUCAUUGCAUAUUACGGUUGCAUAUAAAUAACCUGCUUGCAUCAAGAUUUUUUUUAUGACUGAUGAUGUGAUCAUAGAAUAUUUCAGUACAUGUUGAUCAAUUAUAUUAUACCUGUGUUCUUAAUGUUUGCGAGUACAUUCAAAGUACUCACUGGCUUGUCCCUGGCUAUUGUCUUGGCCAGAUUGCUUGCUUGGAGAGGAGCAUGGCGAUGACAGCCUCGGGACCUAAGCAACGGUGAUAGCAGCCUCGCGAAGAUAGGAGUUAACCUGGUCAGCUGUUCCUGUGGGAAAUGGAGUCCCAUAGACCGUGGUGAUCCACAAACCGCUUCCGCCCUCAACCACUAGAAACCAUUUGAUGUACUCAUAGGCCACAAUGGUCUUGUACUAUAUAUUUUGCACUUUUGCUUGGAAUUUCUGUAACAAGUUGGUGCCUCAUCAGCUAACAGAAAUCCUGGGGCUGGUGAGCACAACGGCCCUUUUCUGGAAUUUAAUGCCCGGAAAACCGGUCGUGACACCAGCGAACCUCCUGAUGAGGAUAGCAGGGAGCUGACGUGGGCCAGACUACAAGCGCAUGAUUUAACGCGUUAAAACUACGAACCGAAGAGUCUGAAUAUAUGAAUAUGUUAGAGUCUUUUGAAUACUCACGAUGCAGCCAGGGGCUUGUUUCAGCACGGCAGCUCUGGGCUACUGUCGACGUCCCACACAGAGUUAUCCGCGAGGGAGCUCUUCCCCCUCUUGGAUGCCUCUGCCUCCAGAUUUGUGGAGGCUGCCCUCUUCUUCUUUCCCCCUCAGGGGGAGAGCUGCUUUCCUCUCGUCCUCAUCGUCGUCUUCGCCGGCGGAGGAGGGAGUCUCGUUGUCUUCAGACAUCCAUUCCAAAGCUCCUUUGCGACGGAGGCCACUCCGGGCCCCCUUGGCCUUCUUCUUGGCCUUCUUCUCCGACUCCUAGUAAGGCGCCGGAACCAGCAUCUUCGUUAGAAGAGGGACGGUUGGUUCCUAUCAGGACCCCGAUUCCAAGUCACAUCUUUCUAGCUGGUAACACCUCAUAUCACUUUGCGGCCUCACGCACGGUAUCCCCACGGGUGUCGCCUUACCAUGGCCCGGGACCGUUUGCACCUUUUGGCUUACGUAUAUGAUAGUGUCGCUAGCAUCCAUAUGAUAGAGAACCCGGGCCGACAUGCCUAGUCAUGAACCCAAAGUGGCACAAACCUAUGGGGACAGGCAUAUAUGAAUCACAUUGAGCAUGUCGGUCAACAGCGUGUGAAUCCGGGCUGUAUCACUGGGCUAACAGGACUCCGAAGAACCCGGUCUGUAGCAGGCUAGGCAGGACUCCGGAUGCCACCGUGUGACAUUUCCCCGAAGGGACAGACAUAGGAACAAAGUGAAAUACAUGCCGGCCAGUCAAGUGUCCUGAGCAGUAGUGCUGGGCUAGCAGGACUCCGGUGAACCGGGCUGUAGCGGACUAUGGCUCAAGGAGGCACUAGACUACAUUUCCCCAUAAGAGAGGCUGCCAAGGAUAAACAACUAGAUUGUCGGAUCCCACACAUACCAAGCAUUUCAAUCAUACACACAAUAUGCUCGAUAUGUGUAAAUACAACAUGGCAUCACAACAAAACUUUACAACUCAAGUACUUUAUUUAAAGGCUACGGUGCCGGUCGUCAGCCGAUGAGGUGUGAUGGAGGAGCACAGGGCUCGGGCGACCGAUUGGUCAAGCCCGCAAGACGAGGGAGAGGAUCGGGGAGGAUUUGGAUCGAGGGGAGGUCUCGAGUGCUGGUUGGGUUGCUACCGAAAACAAAGAGGAGAAGGUAGGAGGAGGCGCUGCGGAUGGAUGGAUUUGAUAGAUGGUGGCAGCGUCUGAUCCUAGGAGGGAGGAGCCUGUAGGUGGCGGCGGCUAGGGAGGACAAAUGUCCUAGUUUUUAGGGUUGGGAUAAAAUUUGGUCCGGUGAAUAUAUAGCAGGUGGACUAGGCUUAGGGGCUAUCUCGUCCCUCCGAUUGUAAUCGGAUGGUCGCUAAAAAAGGCUAGGAAGUCCUAAUAAGAAAACGGAGACGUUUUGCAGAUGUUCGGGGAUGUUCCGGACCCAACGGUGGCGACAGUCCGGGUCGGGUUUGGGUAAGUUUCGGAUGCGCACGAGAGGUCUAUGCGCGGCGCAAAGAGGGGUUAGGUAGGGCCUGACGGUGAGUGGUGGUGGGCUGAGAAGAGAGAGGGAGAAAGCAACCCGGCAACUAUUUCCGGAGACCGGAAACGUCCGACGUUUGACCGGUUAUACUGCCGCUAUAGUUUAACGGUUGGGCUAUCAAACGAACUCCGAAUGUGAUGAAACUUGACAGGCGGUAUAUCUACACUAUAAUAAUACCACACGCCAACUUUCAUCCCAUUCCGAGAACAUUUUCCGGCCACUUAUAAAAUAAUAUUUCGGACGUGCCGCGGGCUCGUGCAAGUGUGGUUGGGCUCAGAACGGACAAUGGAGUGAACUGGAGGAACCCGGACGGAUGCAAGUUUUGAAAACAUGAUGAUGCAAUGCACAUGAUGACAUGGCAAGAUGCAACACGCAAGCAAAAGACAUGGCAACGACGGCGAAUAACUGGAAGACACCUAGCGCAUCGGUCUCGGGGCGUUACAACACUCCACCACUACGAGUGGAUCUCGUCCCGAGAUCUAGAAUGGCACCGGAGGGACAACAGAAGAGAAAGAGGAGAGGUAAAAACUAAGUUGCUUUUUUGACAAACGAGUGAGACCAAAGAACCUUGAAAAGGUUGCGCAAAAUGAAAGAAAGAAAGCAACAGAGAAGAACAAAGUUGAAAGCACUCCGUUAAGAAAGAGGAAUAAGAAAGAACCGAUUCGGGUAGCACUUCGGUUGAAAAGAUAUGAAGACUUGAUAAAAUGAGAGAACUUGAGCAAAAGGGACAAAACACUACGGUUAAAUGGAUAAGCCAAGAAAAGAACAGGAUCAUGACAAGAACAAGAAGAAGGUUUGAAGAGAGCAGCAACACAAUGCCUCCGGAACAAAAGUAAGAAUGGAAAGAACGAAGGGAAAAAAUGAGAGCACGCUUACAACAAAUGCUAGAAUGGAGUUGUUGGGAAAACCAACAACGAAAAGAAUAAGCUUGAUAUGGUCUUAUGGAAUACAUCUCAAAUUAUGAAGUGACCACCUGCCACUCACGGAAAAAUAAAUUGGAUUGAUAUGAACGAGGAGACGAGAACAUAUUUCACCGGGAGGAUAAAGAAGAACUUGGGUCCUUUAUAAGCACCAUAAAUAGCAACAAUCCUUAGGGAAGGUUUAAGGUGAAAUAUAACCCAAGAUAACUCCAAUGACGAGAUUAAUGGAUUUAAAAUAUCUCAUUCUUAACAACAUGUGAAUCAUGAAACAUGAACUCAAAUUAUCAAGAAUGACAUAAUACCACCUCCAAUGAUAUGGAAGAAAGAAUUUCACUCCGGAUAGCAAGAAGAAGAAUGCUUGAGUUCCUCUGAAAAGAAUCUCGAUGAACACUUCGAAAAGGAAAUAAAUCCUUUAUGAACCAACAUGUAGAACCUUCAUGAAGAACUCCGGUAACAAAAGGAUAACAAAAAAGAAAGAGAAGAUGAAAACACAAGGUGAAACCUUGCAAUGAUUAGAUGGACCUUCGCGACGAUAUAUUUGAGAGAACUUGGAACUCUGGAAAAGAAAAGAUGAAACAAUAGAAACCGAGAAUUUGGUGAACCUCCGGAAUAAGGAAUUAAUCACUUGGAUGAAAGAAGAAUAAGAAUUACAUUAUGCUUAUCCUUCACCAAUUUAGAUUGAUGACAAGCAACGGAUUUGGCAUACUACUUAUUCUCGAAGAAAGGAUUAAGAUAGAUAUCGCGCCAACUAGAGAAUGCCAUCAACGAAACACCAGUGGAAUCGAAACAACGAAUGAAUUGAUAUGAUAACGAAAGAAGAGGAAUCUUGCACGAACCACCGUAAGAAUUGAAAAUGAAAGUAGCAAAGGCACAAAUCACUGGGUAGAAUUGGAAAACGAAUGAAGAUACUUGAGAGUAUUUAGAUACAAGUGAACGAAGAGAUCAUGAGCCGAUUAGAGAAUACUUGAAUGAUGCACCGGUAAGAUUUAGAGAAAGAGAGCUUAAAGCUGGAAUCAAUAAACCGAAAUGAUGGCCUUCGAAGAAUCAAACUGAAAAGACUCAUGAAUUACACCGGAUAGGUGAAAAGAAUUUCAUGAUCGAAAACAAUUAUGAGAGGAUGGCCUCGAACUAGAACCACGAAUCUUGAAGAGAAUGAAGCAAGAUAUGGAGGAAAAACUCUCUUCGGUCUUCAAAAUCUGAGAAUUACGACGAGAAACACCACCAUGAAUUGUUGAGACACUCCGAAUGAUGAUUUUAAAGGUUGAACCAAUAAUGAAAAGAAAUGAAAGAUCUUGGAGAAAGACAUUUGACUGAUGACAAUGCAUUCUUACGUCAAAUUUCGAAAAGAAUUUGAUGGUAGCUCCGGGAAAAUAGAAGAGUCAGGUAAGAUCCUGGAAAAGACCUGUGGGUUAGGGCCCACUGAAAAAGAAACACCGUUGAAUGAUUUAAAAGAUAGAUUGCGCCGGUUGAGUUAAAUGACUUGAAUGAGAUAACAUUCUCGAAAAAGUUUGAACGAAAGCAGAGUGGAAACAUGAAUCUUCGAGAUAUCUUCAGCACUCCGGAACAAUAGAAUAGCGAGAGGUGAACGAUUAAGAAUUGCACCGGCAUGAGAAAGCAUUGACAUGAGGAAAGGGUAUGAUCAACAAAGCUUGACUUGAAACCACCGGAGAAGAAAAAGAACGAAGAAUGAUGAACUUGAAGCUCCAUUAGAAUCUUCAUGAGAAUCACCGGAUAAAAACAUUGACGUUAAACAUGGGGAGACUUCCCAUCAAUAAAAUGGAUACUCUAAGAAGAAAUCUGAGUCCUUGAAGAAACAAAGGGAGGGAGGGUGCGAAAACAAAGACAACUUGGGAUGGAUGAAACAAACACCGUUGAGAAGAAAUGAUACUUGAUCUUGCUGAUGUUGAAAUGAUCGGAUCCACUUGAAGAGAAAACACGCCGGUUGGAAAAAAGAAUUGAGAUGACCAUCUCGAUGAUGAAGAAGGGUUAGUAUUCACAAAGGAGUAUGAGAACACCACUUAGAAAAGGUAUGGAAUCAACACUUGACUUCGAAGCAACUCGAAUACCACAACUCAAAAGCAAAAUAAGAAUUGGCUUGCAAAAUAAGCUGGAACAAACAUAUGAUAGAGAUUUCGUCCGAAGUUUUUGUGGUGGGGCCUACACGGGCUCAAUCGUACAGCACCAUCAUGUACAAGGCAGUGCACAUGACAUACGAAGCGUCCCCGAGUCGGCAUAGCCAAGGACUCUUUAAGACACAACGAGACCACUGUAAAACCAACUGUGGAUAGGCGGACCACUAGACGUUGAACCCCAAUUUCAUAUCAUACAUCUGUCAGAAAGAUAUCCUAAGAGCUACUUGAAUUCCCACUUAUAAACCCCCGAAAUUUUUCGGUUAUGCAAUCAGGUGUUGGGGAUACAGGGGAAGCAUAAUAUCUCACCCAAAACUAACAAAUCCUACAUCCAGCUGUAUCCAUCCUUCAACACAUAACCAAGAAACCUUUGGAAAUCGUCUACCUCAACCUUCGAAAAGCAUCCGUUAUACGAGUUAUGGCAAUACUCCCGAACUCCCGCCCCAGUACUGGGUGGCGUCAAGGUUAUCUCACCAACAACUACAUAAAAGAGAUUUUCGAUGUUGGCGAAAACUAAACUCAGGUAUUCCAGAACUGCAACGAUAAAAUUAUGACGACAACACCUCGGAGCUCAACUCCCCGGGACACUGCCACAACCCCUAAAUGACGGGAGGCACCAAGAACAAUGUUCUCGUCAUAAAUCGAUCGGAACGAUUCCAAGAUACCCGCGUGAUCCUAAAUUUUUUUAGUGAAAUUUGAGAAGAGAAGAGUCAAAACUCUACGUCAGGAUACCUUACCAGAGCGAUGAAGGGACUGGGGAGUAAAAAGAAUUCCUAAACUCUCCGAUAUAUAAUUCCUAAAUGACUCAAAACAUUUUUCUAGACUCAACAACGGCAGCUAAUUCGAUCAAGCAGUGGGGCUCCUAAGGUCGGGGAAGGCUCUGAUACCAACUUGUAACGCCCUUGAUGCGGCUAUAUCUCUCACGUGUCGAAGCACAACUUAGAGGCAUAACCGCAUUCAAAGCAAUGUCGCAAGUGAGGUAAUCUUCGCAAACAACCCAUGUAAUACAAUAAGGGAAAAGAAUACAUAGUUGGCUUACAAUCGCCACUUCACACAAAUACAUGAAUAAAGCAUUACAUCAUCCAAAUACAAUCAGGGCCCGACUACGGAGGCAAAAGAAAAGAAGACUACCCCAAAUGCUAGACAGAUCCCCGAUCGACCCCAACUGGGCUCCACUACUGCUCAACUGGAACGAAACAACACAAAGGACAAGGUCUUCAUCGAGCUCCUCCUUGAGCUUGGUUGCGUCAUCUGCACGGUUCAACGGCACCUGCAAGCUGGUUUUGGAAGUAUCUGUGAGUCACGAGGACUCAGCAAUCUCACACCCUCGCGAUAAAGACUAUUUAAGCUUAUGGGUAAGGUAAAAGGCAUGAGGUGGAGCUGCAACAAGCGACUAGCAUAUAUGGUGGCUAACAUACGCAAAUGAGAGUGAGAAGAGAAGGCAAAGCUCGAUCGAGAAACUAUGAUCAAGAAGUGAUCCUAGAACAACCUACGUCAUGCAUAACUCCAACACCGUGUUCACUUCCAGGACUCCGCCGGAAAGAGACCAUCACGGUUACACACGCGGUUGAUGCAUUUUAAUUAAGGUCAACUCUAGGUUUUCUACAACCGGACGUUAACAAAUUCCCAUCUGCCCAUAACCGUGGGCACGGCUUUCGAAAGUUCAAUCCCUGCAGGGGUGUCCCAACUUAGCCCAUCACAAGCUCUCACGGUCAACAAAGGAUAAACCUUCUCUCGAGACAUUCGAUUAGACUCGGCAUCCCGGUUCUACAAGAUAACUUCCACAAGGUAAAACAAAUCCAGCAACACCGCCCGAAUGUGCCGAUAAAUCCCGAUAGGAGCUGCACAUAUCUCAUUCUCAGGGCACACUCAGAUGAGACAUCCUAUGAGUAAAACGAAACCUCAAGUUGCCCCGAGGUAGCCCCGCAGUCUGCUCGGUCGGACCAACACUCAGAGGAGCACUGGCCCAGGGGGGUUUAAAUAAAGAUGACCCUUGAGUCCACGGAACCCAAGGGAAAAAGAGGCUAGGUGGCGAAUGGUAAAACCAAAGUUGGGCAUUGCUGGAAGAGUUUUAAUCAAGGCAAACUGUCAAGGGGUUCUCAUUAUCACCCAACCGCGUAAGGAACGCAAAAUCCGGGAACAUAACACCGAUAUGACAGAAACUAGGGCGGCAAGAGUGGAACAAAACACUAGGCAAAAGGCCGAGCCUACCACCCUUUACCAAGUAUAUAGAUGCAUUCAUUAAAUAAGAGAUAUUGUUAUAUCCCAACAAGUAAACAUGUUACAACAAGGAACAACAUCUCCAUGUUCCAACAAGGAACAAACUUCAUCUUCACCUGCAACUAACAAUGCUAUAAGAGGGGCUGAGCAAAGUGGUAACAUAGCCAAUCAACGGUUUGCUAGGACCAGGUGGGUUAGAGGCUUGGUUUAGCAAUAUGGGAGGCAUGAUAAGCAAGUGGUAGGUAUCGCAGCAUAGGCAUAGCAAAAGAGCGAGCAACUAGCAAGCAAAGAUAGAACUGAUUUCGAGGGUAUGGUCAUCUUGCCUGAAAUCCCGCAAGGAAGAAGAACGAGUCCAUGAAGAAGACAAACGGACGAAGUCGAACGAAUCCUCACAACACGACGUUACCGGAUUACCGAGAAGAAGUACACCGGAAAAGGAAGCAAACAACAUAGUAAACAACCACCACAUAAGCAUGGCAUGAUGCACAAUCAAGUAUGAUGCAUGUCCGGUUUAAUGAAGCAUGGCAUGGCAAAGUGCAACAAAUAAUACUACAAAUUAAGUGGAGCUCAAUAUGCAUCGGGAUGCAUAUUGACGAAACACCACAUCAAUUAUUUAGUUCGAUCUCGUUUAUGUGCCCAACAAAAUUAAAUGUUGUCAACCAUAGCAAGGGGUGAAGCAUAAGUAAACUAACUAUCUAGUCAAGUUUAAAUGAGGCCGGAAAUAACAAACAACAAUUCUGGAAACUCCUCAUGUGCAUAUUAUAAGGUUUGGUACUAUUCUGCCCUAAACCAUGUUUUAGAGUUGUUAAACAUGCAAAGUAAGGCCACCAUGUUAAACUAGGCAAAAUUCUACCCCAUUUACAUAUAAAGUUUGUUAAAAUUGGAGUUAUGGUUAUUUAGUUAUGAAUUAGUCAUCUUAGCAUGGAAUAGGAGCAAAUUAAUGCAAAUAGCAGGUUAAACAAUUUGAACAUGUAUGAAAGUGACAUAUUAUGAAACUAGACACAAUUUUAAGCAAGUUUCAUAUAUAAAUUGUUUUAAUCCGAUGCACGGUUGUGGAGAUAUUAAAUGCAUGAAGUUAGAGGGUUUUUCUGCAAAACAACCAUCUCAGGAAUAAUAGCUAAAUUCGCAGACAAGGAAAAAACAUAUUGGGCCGAAUCUGAGGGCUGGCCCAACAAACAGAGGGGCAAGAGGGGCUUCUCACCCAGCGGCCAGCUCGGGCUGGGCCGAACAAGGAAGAGAAAGGCCGGCCGAGGGGAUGGAGUUGACCGGUCGCCUGGCGCUAGGACGGGGUCAAAACGGGCGAGCGGGAUACUUGGCGUUGUGUGCGUCUCCAAGAAGAACAGGGUCGCGGCACCGGUGCUCGUCAGGAAAAACAGAGCAGCGGCGGGACUUGGGCGAAGGACGGUGAUGGCUCGCCGGCGUUGGGGCUCGAGGCGGCCGGGUGCUGAACAGCACGGCGUGGCGCGGGACUUGGCGGUGAAGGAACCAGGCGGAGGCGAGGGGCGCUCGACCAGAAGCAGAGCAACAGCGGCACUUGGCGAGGCGACGCGACGAGGGACUUGGCGCGGGGCGACGGCUUCAGUAUAGGGGAGCUCGGGCGUAGGGGAUGGGAGGCCGGAUCCGGACGCGGGAGGUCGCCGGGGUCCCGUGCUAUGCCGGAUCGAAACGGAGGCAGGCCGACAGACUUGGAGCUCCAGGCGGUGGCGCGAUGCAGGUGCAGGGGCGGAGGAGCACCGCUCCAGGCUCGGGACGGCGACGACUUGGACUCCAACGAGGCUUGCUGGAGUCAAGGAGGGAGGGAUCCAGCGGCGGCUCGUGGUGGUCCUGGAUGGCGAUGAAGCAGAGGAACGGCCCACGGUGAUGGCGAAACAGAGGAGGGCCGGCGUGGGCAAUGAUGCAGCGGGGCGCGGUGAUGGACUUGGCGCGGGGAAACCGGUCGGAGGCGAGCGGCGUCUGGCGUGGCGAGGUAGCAGGCCGGCGGCGACGACUGCUGCCGAAGGGGAUCGGGGCGGCGUGGUCCGUCUCUGCUCGAUGCAGAGGCUGAUGUGGGACUAGAAGUUGCAGACGAAUAGGGGCGCGGGCGCUUAACUUGUGGUCGCCGGCGACGAUGCCGGUCGUCAGCCGACAAGGUGGGAUGGAGGAGCACGGGGCUCGGGUGACCGAUUGGUCAAGCCUGCAAGACGCGGGAGAGGAUCGGGGAGGAUUUGGAUCGAGGGGAGGCCUCGAAUGCUGGUUGGGUUGCUACCGAAAACAAAGAGGAGAAGGUAGGAGGAGGCGCUGUGGAUGGAUGGAUUUGAUAGAUGGCGGCGGCGUAUGAUCCUAGGAGGGAGGAGCCUAUAGGUGGCGGCGGCUAGGGAGGACAAAUGUCCUAGUUUUUAGGGUUGGGAUAAAAUUUGGUCCGGUGAAUAUAUAGCAGGUGGACUAGGCUUAGGGGCUAUCUCGUCCCUCCGAUCGUAAUCGGAUGGUCGCUAAAAAAAGGCUAGGAAGUCCUAAUAAGAAAACUGAGACGUUUUGCAGAUGUUCGGGGAUGUUCCGGACCCAACGGUGGCGACAGUCCGGGUCGGGUUCGGGUAAGUUUCGGACGCGCACGAGAGGUCUAUGCGCGGCGCAAAGAGGGGUUAGGUAGGUCCUGACGGUGAGUGGUGGUGGGCUAAGAAGAGAGAGGGGGAAAGCAACCCGGCAACUAUUUCUGGAGACCGGAAACGUCUGACAUUUGACCGGUUAUACUGCCGCUAUAGUUGCAAUCCGUGAUAAAUUCACCUCAUGCCUAUGAACAAAAUAAAGCUUUUACUAAACAUAUCAUAGAUGCCAUGAUGAAAGCUUUAGAAGAAAAGUUGGAAUUUGAGAUCUCAAUUCCUAGGAAAUUAUAUGAUGAAUGGGAACCUACCAUUAGAGUCAAGAUUAAAAAUUAUGAGUGUGUUGCUUUAUGUGAUUUGGGUGCUAGUGUUUCCACAAUUGUGAAAUCUUUAUGUGAUGUGCUUGGUCUUACCGAUAUUUAAGAAUGUUCUCUUAAUUUGCACUUGCUUUAUGUGAUGUUCUUAUUCUUGCAAAUAGGUAUUGUGUGCCAUUGAUUUUGUUGUUCUUGAUAUUGAUUGCAAUCCGUCUAGUCCUAUCAUACUUGGUAGACCGUUUUUACGCACUAUAGGUGCCAUGAUUGAUAUGAAAGAAGGGAAUAUUAAAUUUAAGUUUCCACUAAGAAAGGGUAUGGAACACUUCCCUAUGAUAAGAAUUAAUCCACCAUAUGAAUCAAUAAAGAGAGCAUCCAAUGGGACCAAAAUUAAAGAUGACAAUACUUGAAUCUAUGCAUUACGCCUAGCUAGGGGCAUAAAAUGAGAGCGCUUGUUGGGAGGCAACCCAAUGAAUAAAAAUUAUUUUUGUCUUUUUCAUUCUGUUUUUGAGUGUUUGCACAAUUAUGCUACUUAUAUGAUUGUGUUUUCAUGUUUUAAUUAGUGUUUGUGCAAAUUAAAGCCAUUUAGAUUAUGUUUGGUGAAAGUUUAUUUGAUAUUGUUGGAAAACAUAAAAAAAUUCCGUCCAGUAAAACAAAUCUUAAAAAUCACAAGAGUGACGAAAAAUUCUGAAAUUUUUACACAUGAUUUAUAUAUGAAUUCCCUACGUUCUCCUCAAUUUUUAGAAGUUUUGGAGUUAUAGAUUGUUUCGUUUUUCAUAGAUUAUAUUUUCUUUGCAUUAUGUGCUUGUCUUGAUGAAUCUAUGGUUUGUAUCGGAGUGUAUAAGCUAUGGUAAAGAUAUAAUACAGUAGGUAUAAUGCAAAAACAAAAUAUGAAUUGGAUUUCAACUGUACUUAAAGCAAAGAUUGGUUUUAUUAUACUAAUGGAUCUCACAAAGGUUUUGUUAAGUUUUGUGUGAUUGAAAUUUUCAAGUUUUGGGUGAGAUCACGAUGUAUGAAGGAAUAAGGAGUGAAAAGAGCCUAAGCUUGGGGAAGCCCAUGGCACCCAAAGUUACUAUUCAAGGAGAACCAAGCAACUAAGCUUGGGGAUGCCCUGGAAGGCAUCCCCUCUUUCUUCUACCAAUCAUCGGUAAUUUUACUUGGAGCUAUAUUUUUAUUCAUCACAUAUCAUGAGUUUUGCUCGAAGCAUCUUGUAUUAUAUGAGUUUUCGCUAGUUUUUCUUUUUUAGUUUGUGUCAUCUAUCCUUGUUGGACACACCUAUUUGAGAGAGCCAAAAUUACGCUAUAAUUUGUUAGAAUUGCUCUAUAUGCUUCACUUAAUUUUUUU
RNAcentral lists this long non-coding RNA (47002 nucleotides) under Triticum aestivum (bread wheat). RNAcentral's name for it is "long non-coding RNA (TAES_LNC010242)". The record is from RNAcentral. Lineage: Eukaryota; Viridiplantae; Streptophyta; Magnoliopsida; Poales; Poaceae.